Molecule: long non-coding RNA, 58278 nt
Filed under: Triticum aestivum (bread wheat)
Lineage: Eukaryota; Viridiplantae; Streptophyta; Magnoliopsida; Poales; Poaceae
Description: long non-coding RNA (TAES_LNC001585)
Source: RNAcentral
AAGGUGGACAGCGGGAGGAGGUAAGAGGGAUUAACAUAAAUGAGGAGGCACAGGCUACAGAUGGUACUGGCAGGGCAAAUGUCACAGGAGUUGAGGACCUGGGCAGCUUCCAUUUGGAUGUUGAUCCGACCGAGGAUAUACUAGGGAAUCUGGGAAAUUUACACAACUUGCCGUUCUUGAGGGUGGAUAAUCUUGGGAGGAUGCUGUAAUUGUUGCCGUUGCUUGUCAUGGUGCUGAAGACCUGAAGUAUUGUAUGAUUAGUUGGGUUGGAACAGAUGCUCCAAGGACUGCCUUUACCUUGUUGUAGUUCUUGUUAUUGUGCUAUUAUCUCAUCUUGCAGUGGUAGUGUACUUUGUUGUAGUUUGCUAGCAAUGGAGUCGUUUGAUUCAGGCUGCCACAGAAGUACUCUGUGACUUUGUGGUAUCUCCAAAUUUGUCAGGAUACGUGCUCUUGUCUUUGGCAGACAAACUUGUAGGUAUUUCUUGUAAUGGAAAUAAUGUUUCGUAGAUCAAGUGUUGUUUGAUUGGUUAUGCAUGUCAUGCCACUUUGGUUCUUCAAAGGGUCCAUGGUGACUCGAGAAGUUUCUAAGAGCAACUUAUCAAGUAAGUGAAGCUGGCUCCUCUUGUUGAAUACAUAGACCUUUUUUUUUUGCAAAGGCAUAUAUUAGCUACGAUAAUGAUUUACUUGGCAAUACCAAGUUUGUCAUUCUACUAUGAAGUUGAUAAUUAAAUGAUUUUAAUAUGCUUAAAUAGGAUUUCAUGCAGUAGGUAAUUACCUCUAUUCCUUAUGCUAUUUAUUUUGGUUCAUUAUGAUCACAUAAUUGUUAUUAGGAAAUAUGGGAUUAAUUCAUGUAAUCAGUAUGUGAUCAAGUUUAUUGUUACAUAAGUUAUGUACAAAAGGUGCAUUGGCCGAAACCUAUCCAACUACUAAGAUGUCUUUACUCUCAACUUAUCAAAAUUCCAUAAUACUUGGUCUCUUACAAAAUAGGCAUCAUAAUCAUCUAGUGUUACAGUGUUCGCCUUGUAAUGGUUUGCAUUUCAUAGUACUUUUUUUUUGAAAAGGGGAUUCCCCGGCCUCUGCAUCAGAAAGAUGCAUAUGGCCAUCUUAUUAACCAAAUAAAGUAGUGCCAACAUGGUUCCAAAUAAAGUAGUGCCAACAUGGUUCCAAAGGUCUCCAAAAAUAAUAAAAAAGCACAGAAAGCUCACACAGAGACAAUAAGGGCUAGAAACACCAACUAGGCAAGAAAAGACGCCACAACCGGAUGGCUAAAACUAGAUAGGAAAACUAAUUGCCUAUCCUAUUACAUGACCGCCAUCCAAACCGGUUGAAGAUAUCCCGAGCUACCAUCUCCCAGCGAAAAGACCCAGUAACCAAAUGCUCCCUGGCCUCCGUCUGGGUGAGUAGCGACCAUGAACGCCUCCGUCUGGGUGAGUAGCGACCAGGAACAGAUCAGAGCCGUAGUUCGGAAUAUGACCUGCAAAAAAUGUAUACAUGAUAUUCUGUUAAAAACCAAAUCAUUUCUGCAAGUUCAGAUAGUCCACAGCAAAGCACAAACUCCAACCCGAAUAUGUCUCGCUAAGUCAGGCUCAAUCCCAUUAAGCCAUGUCCCAAAUAACGCAUUAACAGAAUUCGGUGGAUUGAUAUUAAAAGCAAUGUGGACCGUCUGCCAAAGUACCUUGGCCAACGGGCAAUCAAAAAAGAGGUGUUUGAUAGUCUCAUCCCGAUUGCAGAAACUACACCUAGUAGGUCCUGUCCAAUUACGCUUUAUCAAGUUGUCUUUAGUUAAAAUAACUUGUUUAUGGACAAACCACAUAAACACUUUUAUUUUCAAAGGAACUUUGACAUCCCAAACAUGCUCGGACGUAGGAAUGGAGUUCGAAUUAAUAACAUCAAUAUACAUUGAUUUAAUCGUGAAUACUUCAGACUUAGUCAAUUUCCAGCGUAAUUCAUUUUUUAUUUCAGUAUUUAUGAGGUUGUCAAAUUAGGUUUUAUAUUGAGAUGGUGUAGUUAAGCCUUUGGGUAGUUACACAUUCUUUUAUCAUUUAGACAAAAUACUCAUCGGGCGGGUAUAUCUACUUUUCUUAGACUCACAUUCUGAUUUGGCAAUCAGAUAUUAUUUCUUACAUUUCUUUACGAUGUCUUACAUUAAAGUACACACACAUAUAUGGAUAAUUAAGUGAAAUUUUUGCAUGUGAAAUAAAAAACAAGUUGCUGUUAAAUAUAUUAUGGAACUUUGUAUUGAAAUAAUGUGUCACUGGUUUCAGCUUUUUGUUUUGUACAAAAUGUCUUGCCUAGCAUUUAUCUUCUUUUAAAUAGUGUCGCUGUUGUCAGUUUUUUUGUUUUGUACAAAGUGCUGCCAAGUUCUGAUAGUUAUGUGUGCAUUUUAUAUUUGUGGGCAAGGUUGUCAGAAUCGCGAUUUUGUUGUACGAUUCUACGACUUUACGAUCUAAACUAACCCCUCUGAUUCUACGAUUUUGGUUCAUAGAAUCUACGUUUUUACGAUCCUGAUAGUGAAGAUUCUAUGAUUUGCGAUCCUGUCAUUGGAGCUCCGAUCCGAUUCAGAAUUGCGAUUCUGACAACCUUGUCUGUGGGUUCCUUUUCCUUUUAUUGAAAAUGAUUACAGCAUUGCAUCCAAUAUCUACAUGUUAAACAGAUCUAGAUGGCCUGAUUUGACAAUAUUUCAUGUAGAUAAACAUCUGCCUUUCCCAUACAGAAGUCAGCUGCCCCAAACACCCUUUGAUACUUGUAUCAGCUUUGGAGGGGAUAUCAGUAGUGUGUGGAACACAUUUUAUUUUUCUUAUUCAAUUUAUGAAGCUGUUUACCCGCUGGCCUAAAAUAUGGGCAGCUUGUAAAACUCAGCAACUAGUUUGCCGAAAAAGGUGCUAACUUUAGCUAUUGUACUUGUUCGGCACCUGACAGCGAAAAGGCGACCAAAUGUGUCCGAUCUGUAUUGGCAUAAAAUCCGAGACAUUGAGCAUAAAAAUAUGGGGACUGAUAGGCGCCGGUGCGCCGGCCUAACUUUUGGGCAGGUCCACCACCCACCGUCAGAUUAGCAUGCGUGUGACCGUUCGAUCAAAGUCAACGCAUCCCGUUUCACCCCAAUCUUCUCCCCCCGCUUGUCUCUGCCACAUCGCUGCACCGUCCGCCUCAUUACACGUGCUCGUCCACCCAUCCUGUAGGUCUUCGUGCCCCAACCCGCCAUCGCAGCUCCCUCGUCACCGCCAUGGCCGUCCCCUCACUCGUUGUUGUAGGCAUGCAUCACCUUUUCCAACAAAAAAAAGAACUCAGCAAAGAAAUCCAGUCAAAAAAUCCAUCGGUGGUAGCAAAACAAAACAUCGGUUCCAGCAAAACACACACAUGCUUCCAUGUUGUCGUCGCCGUAGUAGCAAAAAAUUAGCCAGUUCCAACAAAAAAUCUCAAGAACAGAAACUACCAUGGUCAGGUUGAAGCAAAAAAAAGGCCGGUUCCAGCAAAAAAAAAUAUGAUUGAAGCAAAAAAAAUCUCAGCAAAAAAAAUCUCAGCAAAAAUACUAUAGUGUUCUUGAAGCAAAAAGAACAUAUGGUUCCAGCAAAAAAAGUGUGAUUCCAGCAAAAAUUAAUACCGAUUCCAGCACCUCCGAUUAAGGUGGUCGUAGCUUUUUCCCUAGCCGGUUCCAGCACCUUAGAGUAUGGACGCAACUUUUUUCAUGGCCAGUUGUAGCUUCUAAAACAGUUGUAGGAAAAAAAAAAGAGGGUUAAGGAUGAGUGAUGAAGGGGAUGGACCGAUGGAGUUCAUAUGGCUUCUGGGAAAAGAAAUGGGAUGGAGUUCAUCCAUGGCUGCUGAGGAGAGAAGGGGAAGGAGUCCCUCCAUGGCUACUUGAGAGAGAAGGGGAUGGAGUUCAUCCAUGGCUGCUGAGGAAAGAAGGGGAAGGGGUCUAUCCAUGGCUACUACAGAGAGAUAAGGGGAAGGAGAUCAUCCAUGGACGCAGCUCCGCCGCUCGCAUCGACUCCGGCGCCGCUCCACCCGCCGGUGCUGGGAUUUCAAGGACUUGGAGGCAAGGGACGAACUAGAUAGGUCUUGCGGGGGGUGGGGAUAAGGUUCCUGUGGAUAGCGCUGGGUAAGCGGUCACAUGGGCGUGCGUUGUGCGAGGAGGUGACCGACCCAAUUUUGACCGGCUGACCGAUUGCAAACGUUUCCUAAAAAUAUCACGUAAUUCGUCUUAGUCUGAGCUGCCUUUUCUUCAACCUCCGUGGCUAGUCGUCGUGUGGGGUAUCAAAAAAGAGAUUUCCUUAUCUAUCUAAUAUCUAUAUUGUCAUCGUUUUAAUAUAUUCUUUUCCAUAAAACCUGUUUGGUAAACAGCACGACAGACUGUCCAGGAAUAACUAGUCGAAGCCUCACUGCUCAAAGAUCAGCACCUGACAGCGAAAAGGCGGCCAAAUGUGUCCGAUCUGUGUUGGCAUAAAAUCCGAGACAUUUGAGUAUAAAAAUAUCACAUAAUUCGUCUUAGGCUGAGCUGCCUUUUCUUCAACCUCCGUGGCUAGUCGAAGAACAGUUUUUUAUGUCGGCAUAUAGAGAUAAUGCAAUGCAAUGCCGUUGUUGCAUACUGCUGAAAUUUGGAGGAACGCUCACCAUGAAUAUUUUUUCUCGAAACAUGAACCAUUAUUAUCCAUCAAAUCUACGCAUGCCGUUUUCUCCUCUCUUCACUACCUACUCACUAAACUCAUUAUUAAGUAGACCAACUGUCAAGUCCAAUGGUCGACAAAUAGUACUCGCUUUGUUCUUUUUUAGUCUACAUAUAACUUUUUUUCAAAGUCAAAAUAUCUUUAUUUUGACCAAACUUAUAGAAAAAAAUAUCAACAUUUACAAUACCGAAUGAAUAUAUUUAGAUUCAUUAUGAAAUGUAGUUUUUAUAUAGAUGUUGAUAUUUUUUAAUACAAAUUUGGUCAAAAUUUGUCAAGUUUGACUCGACACAUUUUUUUUGAAAAGGACGCUUUAUUACUUAUAAGUUAAGCAUUACAUUUUUCACACAACACUGGAGCUGCCAAUUCAAUUUUCCACAGUUGAGCUAUAAAAUUUAAGUUUAUUGCUCUAUAAUUCAAGUCCAGAGCUCAAGUCAUACGUGUCCCAAUUACGAUAGGUAUUUUCUUGUAUUUUCUUUUCUCACUAACAACGAAGAUAUCUGGAGCACGCUACUCUUUGAACUAGAUAAUUACUCGCGCGUUGCUGCGGGAAUUUGUAGUAAUAAACUUAUCAAGAAUAAAAUUAAAAUAUAUAUGUGAAUAAUAAACCAUCACAUUCUAGUUAUCCAUAAACUUUAGCGGAUCAGUGGUGGAGCCAACAUCAAAACAAUGGUGUACACAAUCCCUAGAAUUUUUAGAUUUUGCUCAUGUUUCCUAACUUCCUUAUUGUUCUACAUAUCUGCAUCAUAUACUUAUGUACCAAAAAGGUCUGCAAAAUAAUGGUUAUACAUUUGUACACCCAAGCGGGUAUGUAGCUUCGUCCAUGUAGUGGAUCUACUAGUAAAUGGACAUGGUUGGGUGGUAUAGUGCCUUGUGGCCUUCUGACUUUGGUGUAGAAAUUUGUUGCUUAAAUACUAAUAAUAAAGGAUUUGGAUACAUUCUAUCUAAAAUAAGUAAUUCAAAAGACAUGCUUUUUAGGCAAAUACCCAAAAGUAUCUCUUCUAAAUNNNNNNNNNNNNNNNNNNNNNNNNNNNNNNNNNNNNNNNNNNNNNNNNNNNNNNNNNNNNNNNNNNNNNNNNNNNNNNNNNNNNNNNNNNNNNNNNNNNNNNNNNNNNNNNNNNNNNNNNNNNNNNNNNNNNNNNNNNNNNNNNNNNNNNNNNNNNNNNNNNNNNNNNNNNNNNNNNNNNNNNNNNNNNNNNNNNNNNNNNNNNNNNNNNNNNNNNNNNNNNNNNNNNNNNNGUGGGGGGGGGGCUUCGUUUUUAGAUAUUUUUUCAAGGUUUGUUAGGGUUUGUGUCCUACUCAGGAAGGCGAAUGGUGACGACUCCUUGAAGGUGGAAUAAAGGUCUCCCGGCCUAGCCUCCGUUCCGGUUAUGCGUCUAGCAUCGUCGGUGGGCGUGUGGAGUUGUGUCUCCGGUGGAUAUGCAUUUGGUGGAUUUGCUCGGAUCUGUUCGCCGUUCGUCUUUGCUCAUGUGUCUUCAGGUUGGUUCCUUCUUAUCUACACUCUUUAUCGAUGGUGGUUGCUGUUCUGGCGUGUUGAUUCUAUGGGGACUUAGCACGACGACUUUCCUACUGUCUACUACAAAAAGGUUUGCCCGGCUCCAGCAAGGAAGGGGUGAUGACAGCGGUGCAGCAUCGGCUCGCUUCAGUGCUUAUAGUCGUCACUAGGUGGUCUACGGAUCUGGAUGUAAUUUUUAUUAUUUCUAGCGUUCGUUGUACUAUUGAAGAUGAAUAGAUCGAAAGUUUAUUCUGCAAGAAAAAAAUUGAGAGUAUAAACUAUCCAAAAGAUAUUGUUCAUUCAUGCAGAUACAUGCACCGCUGAAUUGAGAGUGUUCUUGACCACAAUUGAAGAUCAAUAAUACUACACCUACGAAAGGUGCUACGUAGUCCUACUUAACCUUCCAAUAAAUUCCUUUCUCCCCUCGAUUUUAACCGGUGUGGGCCCUAGCUGCUAAUCCUGACCUAAUUAACAAAUCCCACAUCAGCUUUUACGUAAGAUCUGAACGUAAGCUUACAUAUGUCUAACAUUGCUCAUUGAAGAUAAUUUAAGAAAGGAAAGCACUUCCUAUCAGAAGUCUGAUACAGAAGUUUUGUCAGACCGGCCCGGCGUCCCUGAUCCCCUACUAUUCCCACGGCCCAUAUCUUUACCUACUAAUAAAGAAAGCAGCGAUUGCUUCUGGUUGUACGUCGUCGGCGUUUUUGCAAAACAGCCCCUCUAUUUCUUUGAAAUAAACCCGCAGUCCCUGUUUAAGUGGCACUCUGGAAAAGGUUUUAUUUUUACCUAAACACCCCAACAUUUGUUAAAAAUUAUGCCCAUGGCCCUAUCUCUUAUUGGACUGGCUCACCACCGCGCAUCUCGCCGCUUAUCAUGUCGUUCUGCACCGCGGGGCACGCGCCGCCGGCGCCGCGGCGGGCGUCCGCGCCGAGGCGGGGCACCGGCUGGAGCACGGCGUGCACUCGACGGACACCGGAGCGAAGCGUGUUUGAGGCGCGAGAGGCAGGAGGCUGGAUCUUGGCGCGGCUCCUCUUCACACACAGCCCAGCCGCCGCCCUGCUGCCAUGAAUAGCCCAGCCGCGGAGAGGUGUGAGAUCAGGGGCGGGGAGGGAGAAGCGAGCUUACGGCUUCGUCCUCGGUCGUGGAUGCGUAGACGAACAGAAGGCAAGCGUUUGUCUCCUUCGGUCUCGAUGCGGACGAGCAGCUGCGGCUAGGCCCUCGGCGCAACGUGCAGGCGAGCGGGCGUGCAGUGGAUAGGUGUGAUGCGCGCCACGCGCGAACCAGUGCGGUCACACGGUGAGCAGAGUGUCCUGGCGAGCGGGAGGCUUGGGGGUCAACGCAUCCUGGCGAACGGUCGUUGUUGCGCUCGAGCGCUGCUCCCUCGCGCUGGAAGAAAGUUCGGCGGCAACUCUCCAGGGACUUGUGGCGGGGCGACACGGAUCAUACAGGGACGGCCUGGAUCUGGACAGGGUUGAGGAGGGCGCGGCUCCCAGGGUUGGACUGUUGGACUUGAGCUCGAUGCAACAUCCAUGGCAGCUCGCGGUCCUAUAGCACCGAGAAGAGAGAGGGAGUUAAGAGAGAGAGAGAGAAGAAAGAGGAAGGAGGAAGAAGAAGGAGAAGGGAGCAGAGGCAGGGGGCGGCCCGGCUUGCUGCUGGUGCUCGCCGGCGCACGCGGCUCGGGGAGGCUCGGGCGCUCGUGCAGCUCCAUGGGAGGAGCUCAUGGAUGGCCGGAUGGAUGGAUAAGAGGAAGGAUAGCAGCGCCGUUGGGAGGAAUGGAAACGUGGAUAACAUCCGCACAAUGGGAAGCUCUCGGUGGGGAUUCUUGGUAUGAAAUGUGGAUUGCUUUUUUUAAUGGCUGCACUGAUGAGUGACGAGAAGCUGCUGGAUGUUGCCAUGCGUGCUAGCAGCCAAGCAUCCAUUGCAUUUUUUUUUCUAAAUGAGCACCGAUAUAAUUACUUGUUGUUAUUUAUUGUUACUUUCAUAGCUUUUUUUAACGUAGUACAGACGCAAGCGCCCACAUAUACAUGCAUCCAAUUAUUGCUAUGAACGCACACACACUCAUACUACUCAUAUGAGCACCUCCGAAAGACUGAGCCGACAUAUUAUCUCGAGAUCGUGGCUCGUCGUCGACGGGAACGUCUUCUCCCACUGAAAUGCAUCACCGAAAAUCCUGGAAUGAAUUCAGGAAUAAUGCGAGCCCAGAACUUGAACCCUGGUGGGCUCAAGAUACCACUGUCCAUCUAACCAUCCAACCACAGUUUAGUCCGCAUUACUGUCAUAGUUUAAUGUUCAUGCCUACUACAUCAUCAUAUACAAUAAUUAAAAAUGAAUGAAAUAUUAGAAAUAAAUAUUUCUAAAGGGAGAAGAUAUUUGGAGCCCACGUAACUUGCUAACAAUUAACAUAUCCUCAACUCUGGAUGUCUUUGACGUUGUUGGUGAAACAUGGAGGGAUGAAGAGUAGAGAGAAUGUGACAACAGUGCAUCUUGCUCGCGUCUUGUUUUGUCCCGCACGCCAGCUGAGGGAAGGGGCCCAUUUUACCAUCUCUACCACCGCUCCGCGUGCCCUAAUCUUGAUCCCCAACGAGGCCUGAUGAUGAUGUCCAGAGAAGUGGCCAUGUUGGCGUUGGGUGUGUGCUCCUACUGCUGGUUGCAACGUGUCAACAAAAGAGCUCCAGGCAUUGUAAACUCUUUAUAUUCUGAUCAUCAUAUUUUUGAAGUGGGAAAGUUUAAAUAUGAAUUAAUGUUAAUAGGGAUUUCGAGGUAGAGAAGGAGGACGGUAGGGCAAGACAAACGGAAAUAAUGGACACAUGGACGGUUAACAAUGUCUCCUGUUGCAACGCACGGGCAUUUGUGCUAGUUUUAAACAAAUCUCCGAUCCCGUUAAUCGAUCCCACAUUUUUAUCCAUCUCCCGAGUAAAUCUCGCUAGCUACCCCAUCCCAACGACCUCACCAGUCACCACGUCCGGAGCGAGUAAAUCUCGCAUCCCACCGGCAAGCUCGGGGCGCUCACCGCGACGACUACCUCCGCCGCCAGCUCCGGACCAAAAACUCGCGACGGCUACAACAGAUCCAUGUCACUGGUGUGGCGCCCCGCCCCCAUCUCCACCAUUGAUCCCUGCUCUCACCAUCGGCCGACCAUGCCCUCUUCGCCGCCCCGGUCCCCCGCCAGACCUUUCCCCACCACCAUCCCUCACAGCGCGCUGGUGCGCCAUUUUGGCAUGGCAAAGAAGUUGUGUGCAUGUUCGAGGCAUCGUGUGUCAGCGCCCCUGACAUGCCGGCUCCACCGGCCACCAACGGAGGAACCAGCCCGGGCCGGCCUGUGCAUCACGCCAAGCCCAACAGAAGGGUGACUGGCCCAGAAUGGGUCCGGUAGGCCCAACGAGGCGUUGCUACUUAAGUCACCCACCCGGCUGGAGAGAGAUCCAUCCAGAGGAUCAACGAACCCGGUGGCAGCGGCUACCAUUUCCCUGCUCGAACCCUAGUUCUCCUCAUUCUUGUAAUUCGAUCGAGUGUAUCUAGAUAUUGCCACUGCUUAAUAGAUCCUCAAGUAGAACCUAUCAUCUGGUAUCAGAGACCAGUCCACCUCCCUUCCGCCGUACCACCCUGGCCCAAUUCAUUGAAACACGGCGGCUUCGACUCGCUCGAUCCGACCUCUCCGCCAUGGAUUCGUCCAUCCAAGCCUUCCUCGACCGGUUGGAUGCGACGCUGGCCGCCCACACCUUGUCCAUCGCCGCGAUCCAGGCCCAGACUACCAAGAUCGACGAUUUGGUCGCAUGGCGACCCGAUCUAGAGAAACGCGUCGUUGAUCUCGGCGUCGUGGUCACGGCUCUUCAGCAGGCGCACGUCCCGUCGCCUGCGGCAUCUACGGUGGCGCCCCACAUGGAGAAAGGCCCUUCUCUACCCCAGCGACGCUUGACGCCCCCAUCGGGCACAAGCAGGACGCGGGCGGGGCGAUCUACAGGUCUGCGGACCAUGACGUCUUCAACAUCUCACGGGGGGUGUCGGCGACGUCGUUUUGCACGCCGCCGCCACUCCCGGCCAACGGUCAGUCCGACUCCACUCAUACCACGGCUCCACUUUCGCCCUUUGUGCACACAAGCCAGCUACUGAUGGGGUUGGGACAGGCUCACCCAUCCAUUUCCUUCCCUCAAUUCGCGGGGGAAAACCCAAAUUUGUGGAAAACCUUAUGUGAGCAAUAUUUCCAAAUGUUUGGGAUUCACCGUACCUUUUGGGUGCCCAUGGAGGCGCUCAACUUCUCUGUUGCGGCUUCAAUUUGGCUUCAACCGAUCCAGAAAAAACUUGCUAAUUAUGAUUGGGAAUCUUUUGCUGCACUGCUUUGUACGUGCUUUGGCCGCGAUCGGCAUCAGAUGCUGAUCAGACAGUUUUAUACUGUGCGGCAAGUCACUUCAGUAGCAGAUUACAUAGAGAGAUUUGAGUUAAUUAUCAACCAUUUGAGUUCAUAUUCUGACACAAUUCAUCCGUUCUAUUUCUUAACACGCUUCAUCGAGGGGCUACGACUGGAUAUCCGGGCGGUGCUCCUGGUCCAGAGGCCACCCAACCUGGAUACGGCAUGCGCUCUGGCCCUUCUCCAGGAAGAGGUGGCGGAUGGUGGCCGUCCAGAGCCGCCACGACAGCAACAACCGAGGCCGCCUGAAUCGGUGUGACCUGUGUCAACAGCCCGCUCCCGCUUCCACCACCACCAGCGCGUCCAGCAACGACAGCAGCGGGGGCGACUGAUCAACGAGGCAUGGAGGCUGCUCAGGUAGACUCCACCAAGAUCAAGACACUUCGAGACUACCAGCGUGCACGUGACCUCUGUUUCAAGUGCGGCGGGCGGUGGGGGCACGACCAUGUGUGCCCCACCUCGGCGCAGUUGCAUGUCAUCGAAGAACUACUCGAGCUUUUCGGCAUCGACAGCAUAACAGAACCACCGAUCAACCAGAAGAGGUGGUGAUGGCUAUUUCACGCUCUGCCAUUUCUGGUGGGGUCUCGGCCAAAGCAUUCCAGCUGAGGGCAUGGAUACAAGGCCGAGAGGUGCUUGUGCUCGUGGAUUCAGGAAGCUCUACGUCCUUCGUCAACUCUGAACUGGCCCAGAUGCUGGAAGGGGUUGAGCCAUUACCAAAAACCUACAGUGUCAGAGUGGCCGAUGGUGGGGAGCUCAAAUGUUCAGCCAUCAUUCCAAGCUACAGUUGGUGUACUCAAGGCCAUGAAUUCGCAACAGAUCUGAAAGUGCUAUCUCUGGGGGUCUGUGAUGCAAUCUUGGGCAUGGAUUGGCUCGAGGAACACAGCCCAAUGACAGUGGAUUGGAAGGCCAAAUUGAUCACUAUGUCGUCCCAACAAGGCUUGCUUACUCUGCAAGGACAUGACGUUGACUCAAUGAACUGUUUGAUCAUCAAUAGCCUGCAGUUGCAAGGGCUAUGCAGCAAGAAUGCGGUGGCUUAUAUGGUGCAGUUGCACACAGUUGAGCUGGACAAGGAACAAGAGACGAGUACCCCAGAAGAACUCCAGGAGGUCAUUACAGAAUUCGCUGAUCUCUUCGAGAAGCCGACAGGACUGCCCCCACGGCGAGAGUGCGACCAUCAUAUUCCCUUGAUUCCAGGCGCACAACCGUUCAACAUCCGUCCUUACAGGCACAAACCAGAGCACAAAGAUGAAAUUGAGCGGCAAAUCGUAGAGCUGUUAAGGACAGGCAUCAUACAACGGAGCACAAGUCCCUUUACUUCACCAGUCAUCCUGGUAAAGAAAAAAGACGGCACAUGGCGACUCUGUGUGGACUACCGUCAUCUCAACGCCCUCACAUGUGUCGCUAAGUUUCCGAUACCAGUCAUUGAAGAGCUGUUGGACGAACUGCAUGGUGCCUGCUGGUUCUCAAAACUUGAUUUGCGAGCGAGGUACCACCAAAUACGGCUCGCAGAAGGGGAAGAAUUCAAAACAGCAUUCCAUACACACUCCGGCCACUAUGAAUUUAGAGUGGUCUCAUUCGGCCUAGCGGGUGGACCAGCAACUUUCAAUGGAGCAGUUACCCUCACUCUACACCCACUCCUGCGCCAUUGCGUACUGCUUUUCUUUGAUGACAUACUGGUUUUCAGUCGCACUCUGAAUGCCCACAUCAAGCACCUCCGGCAAGUCCUUGAACUCCUUCGUCGAGACCAGUGGAAGGUGAAACUCAGCAAGUGCGCGUUUGGUCAGCCAAAAAUAUAAUACCUGGGACAUGUUGUCAGUGCAGAAGGUGUUGCUACCGAGCCAACCAAGAUCAAGGCAGUCCCCGAGUGGCAAACCCCGACCACGGUCAAGGCAGUGCGCAGCUUUUUGGGGUUAGUGGGCUAUUACCGGUGCUUUGUACGCAACUUCGGCGUCAUUGUUAGGCCCCUCUUCAAUCUGCUCAAGAAAGGGGUCCCGUUUGUUUGGACCAGGACACGGAAACAGCCUUCCACCUUGUAACGCCCUCGAUGCGGCUAUAGCUCCCACGUGUCGAGGCACGACUUAGAGGCAUAACCGCAUUGAAAGCAAUGUCACAAGUUAGGCAAUCUUCACAACUUCCCAUGUAAUAUAGAUAAUAAAAGGGGAGAUACAUAGUUGGCUUACAAUCGCCACUUCACACAAUUACAUGAAUAAAGCAUUACAUCAUCCAGAUACAAACAAGGUCCGACUACGGAACCAAAAUAAAAGAAGAAGCCCAAAUGCGACACGGUCCCGAUCGACCCCAACUGGGCUCCAGUACUGAUCAACUAGAACGAAACAACACAAAGGACAAGAUCUUCAUCGAGCCCCUCCUGAGCUUGGUUGCGUCAUCUGCACGGACUCAUCGGCACCUGCAAGCUGGUUUUGGAAGAAUCUGUGAGUCACGGGGACUCAGCAAUCUCGCACCCUCGCAAUCAAGACUAUUUCCUUAUGGGUAAGGUAAAGGUAUGAGGUGGAGCUGCAGCAAGCGACUAGCAUAUAUGGUGGCUAACAUAUUCACAAAAGAGAGCGAGAAGAGAAGGCAAAGCAUGACCGGGAAACUAUGAUCAAGAAGUGAUCCUAGAACAACCUACGUCAAACAUAACUCCAACACUGUGUUCACUUCCCGGACUCCGCCGAAAAGAGACCAUCACGGUUACACACGCGGUUGAUGCAUUUUAAUUAAGGUCACCUUCAGGUUUUCUACAACCGGACGUUAACAAAUUCCCAUCUGCCCAUAACCGCGGGCACGGCUUUCGAAAGUUCAAAUCCCUACAGGGGUGUCCCAACUUAGCCCAUGACAAGCUCUCACGGUCAACGAAGGAAUAGACCUCCUCCCGAGACAUUCCGAUCAGACUCGGUAUCCCGGUUCUACAAGACAUCCUCGACAAUGGUAAAACAAGUCCAGCAAGACCGCCCGAUGCGCCGACAUCCUGAUAGGAGCUGCACAUAUCUCGUUCUCAGGGCAACACCGGAUGAACACUACGUACAGCUGAAACCAGCCCUCAAGUUUCCCCGAGGUGGCGCCGCAAGUGGCUCUAGUUUGGACCAACACUUAGACAAGCACUGGCCCGGGGGGGUUAAAAUAAAGAUGACCCUCGGGAUGCGCGACUCCCAAGGGAAAAAGGCUAGGUGGCGAAUGGUAAAACCAAGGUUGGGCCUUGCUGGAGGAGUUUUAUUCAAAGCGAACUGUCAAGGGGUUCCCAUUAUAACCCAACCGUGUAAGGAACGCAAAAUCCGGGAACAUAACACCGAUAUGACGGAACUAGGGCGGCAAGAGUGGAACAAAACACCAGGCAUAAGGCCGAGCCUUCCACCCUUUACCAAGUAUAUAGAUGCAUUAAUUAAAUAAGAUAUAUUGUGAUAUCCCAACAAGUAAAUAUGUUCCAACAAGGAACAACAACUCCAUGUUCCAACACGGAACAAACUUCAAUCUUCACCUGCAACUAACAACGCUAUAAGAGGGGCUGAGCAAAGCGGUAACAUAGCCUAACAACGGUUUGCUAGGAUAAGGUGGGUUAGAGGCUUGGUUCAACAAUAUGGGUGGCAUGAUAAGCAAGUGGUAGGUAUCGCGGCAUAGGCAUAGCAAAAGAGCGAGCAACUAAGCAAGCAAAGAUAGAAGUGAUUUCGAGGGUAUGGUCAUCUUGCCUGAAAUCCCGCAAGGAAGAAGAACGAGUCCAUGAAGAAGACAAACGGACGUAGUCAAACGGGUCCUCACAAACGCGACGUUAUCGGAACCAACCCGAAGAAGCAAACAUCAGAAAAGAAGCACACAACAUAGUAAACAACCAACACAUGAACAUGGUAUGAUAUGCGGGAUGCGGUAUGCGAUGCAUAUUCAUGAUUUGCAAAGGAAUGAAUGAACCUAGACUCAACAUGGAAAUCCAAGUGUGCCACUGUAAAGAUGAGAUUAAAUCGCUUGAAAACGAUAUAAAGAUCACCGGAAUCGGAGUUACGGUUUGGAAAUGGCAAGCAAUUCAGAUAUGACCCCGUUCUGCGAUUUACAGCAAGUAGCCAUCUAAAUGCAACAAGAUGAACAUGCUACAGCACCCAAACAUGGCAACAAAAUACAUGGCAGGAUCCAUUCAUGAUGCUUAACAAAAGUCUAGCACCGAGCUACGGCCAAUUCAUCCAUUAACACGUUCAAACAAACAUGGCAAAAAUGCAUUUGGUAAACAGAUUUCAGACUUAGUGAAAUUAACACUUGUCUGGAAUUUCAGAUCAGGUAGCACACUUUGGAGCAUGAAAACUAUAAGCUACAGGGCCUGAACAUGGCAAAGUAAAGCAUGGCAUGGAGCUACUCAAAGAGCUUAACAAAAGUCCCUUAGUGACCUUGAGACAAAAGGGAUCAGAAAAUACAUUUGCAAGCAUGUGAACAUGGCAAAAACAUAAUCAGAUCACAGACUUAGUGAAAACUGGAGCAUGCUGAAACAGAUAUCAAGUAGGCAUGUUUACGAGCUCGAUGCACUCACUACAGAGCAAGUCAUGACAAGCUAAGCAUACACCCAUCAAGAAUACACAAAAUACAAGCUAGACAUGGCAAGAACAAUAACAUAGCAUGCAUGGAUCAACUACAACAUCCUCGGCAAAAUUGCUAACAAGUAGACAAUCUGCCCAGAUUCACGAAAUGACAAAAAUAGAGCUCGAUUGACUCAAGCUAGGGUGAUCCAUAAUUGCAAACAAAGACAUGGAUGGAUAUAGCACUACAAGAUUAACAAAACAUCCUUACUGAUCAUCCUCAAAAGAGGCAUGGAUCACUAGGAAACAACAUGAACAUAUGGCAUAAUGAGAUAAACAGACCAAGGACUUAGUGGAAAUGCUAAGUCCCUUAAAUCAGCACUAACAAGUGCCCCACUUUGCAAGCUUGUGCUAGUCACCACACACAUCACAAAAAUACAUGGGUUGCACCUCUGGAUAGAUGGCAAAACCCUUAACAAAACAUAUGUAGAGCUCAGGGGCAUAUCAUGCACACAAUAAACAUGGCAAAAAUGACAAAAUAUCUAAAUGGAGCAGCAGAUCUGACAAUUAACUCAAAUAGCGCUCUUCUAACAGCAUUUCGGGCAUCAAGAUGAACUCAAAUGAAAAUGAUGCAAUGAGAUGAAAUGAUGUUCUCUCUGAGACGAACAUUUUGAUAUGCUAUAUGCAUGAAUCGGAGCUAUGGAUGCAAAUUUACGAGGCGAUGAACAUGGGCAUGCGGAACUGGGAAUUUUGAGGACUUAGUAGAAUUUUUACCUCCCGAAACGGAUCUAGGGUUUCGGGGUACGCCGUACGAGGUUCGCCGGAAAGUCGCCGGAGGAGAGGGAGAUGGCGCCGGAGUUGGGGAAAAACUCGCCGGAGUUGUCAGGGUUGCCGGAUCCGAUCGCUCCUCGACCUGAUCUGACCGGGGAAGAAGCGGAGCGAGGUACCGAGGCGGAGGCGGCGCCGGCGACCUCCUGCAAUGGCGGCGCGGCACGGGAGCUCCAGCGAGCUCCUGCGGCAGGACGGCGGGAUGAAGAGGGCCGGCGAGCACUCGGGGUUCGUCCGCUCGGGGACCCCGCAGUCGAGCGGCGGCCUGCGAAGGCCCGGGUGGUUCGCUCCGGCGAAGACGGCGCCGGUCGGCGGCGGAGCGGCGAAGCGCGGGGCAGCGGCCGACGAUGAGACACAAGGCGGCGGCGCAGGGGAGGCUCUGGCGGCGGAGCGCGGGGGCCGAUCCGGGCUCUCGCGGGCUCGGGCGGGCCCCGGAUGGGCCUGCAGGGCCGCAGCAGCGAAGUGGGCGCGGCGGGGACAGGUGGCGGCCUGUGGUUGGACGAGGGAGUGGCGGCGAUGACGUGGCGAGCCCCCAUUGGUGGGAGGGACGUGGCGGCGGGCGGCGGACAUUGUCCAGCGCGGUGAGGACGCGUCCGGCGGCGCGAGGGAAGGAAUUUUUAGGGUUUCGUCCGCGAAUUUGGAAGGGUUGCACAUAUUUAUAGGUAGAGGGAGCUAGGAGAGUACAAAUGAGGUGCGGUUUUCGGCCACGCGAUCGUGAUCGAACGACCGAGAUGAUGGAGGAGGUUUAGGUGGGUUUUGGGCCAAAAUGAAGGGGUGUUGGGCUGCAACACACACGAGGCCUUCUCGGUCCCUCGCUUAACCGUUGGAGCAUCAAACGAAGUCCAAAUGGUACGAAACUUGGCAGGCGGUCUACCAGUGGUAAACCAAGACCGCGUGGCAAGUCUCGGUCCAAUCCGGAAAUGUUUAACCCCCAUGCACGAAAGAAAGGUAGAAAUGACCAUCGGAGGAGAACGAAGCGUCGGAAUGCAAAACCGACAACAUGGAAAAUGCUCGGAUGCAUGAGACGAACACGUAUGCAAAUGAAAUGCACAUGAUGACAUGAUAUGCAAUGCAUGACACGCAAGCAAUGACAAGGCAACAACAGCGAAUAACUGGAGGACACCUGGCACAUCGGUCUCGAGGCGUUACAACACUCCACCACUACGAGAGGAUCUCGUCCCGAGAUCUAGAAUGGCACCGGAGGGAAAACGGAAGAGAAAGAGAAGAGGUAAAACUAAGUUGCUCCUUUGCCAAACGAGUGAAACCAAAGAACCCUGAAAAAGAUUAAGCCAUUUCGAGAAAAGAAUACAACGGAGAUGAACGAAGUUGAAAACACUCCGAUAGAAAAGAGGAACAAAGAACAUUACUAGAACCUUGAGAUUGAAGGGCAAGAUAAAUCUUGAAACCACUCCGGUUGAAACAAGAUAGAAAAGGAUUGAGAAUGAUAUAAUUUGGGCAGCACUCCGACUGUAAGUGGAAAGAAUUGAACAUGAACUUGAAAAGAUGAGAGGAUACUUGAUGAAAUCACAAUACACUGCCUCCGUAACUAUUGAAUGAAUGGAACAAGGGGUAAGAAAUAUCUUGGACAACACUCCGGUUGAAAAGAGAUGAAAAACUUGAUAAAAUGAAAGAACUUGAGCAAAAGGGCACAACACUCCGGUUAGAUGGAUAAGCACAGGAAAGAACAUGAUCUUAGAUGAAACAAGAUGAUGGUUGAAGAAAACAACAUCGCAAUGCCUCCGAAACAAAAGUAAGCAUGGAAUGGGAUGAAUGAAGGAAAACAAGAUCUCGAGGUAGCACGCUUACAACAAAUGCUAGAACGGAGUUGUUGGAAAACCCACAACGAAAAGAAUAAGCUUGAUAUGGUCUUAUGGAAUACAUCUCGAAUUAUGAGGUGACAACCUGCCACUCACAGAAAAAGAAUUGGAUUGAUAUGAACAAAUUGGCGAGAAAGUAUAUCGCACCGGAAAGGAUAUAUGAAGAACUUGGAUCAUUUAUAAGCACCAUAAUAGCAACAAACCUUAGAGAAGGCUUUAGGUGAAAUAUAACCCAAGAUAAUAGCAAUGAAGAGAUUGAUGGAUUUAAAAUAUCUCGUUCAUGACAACAUGUGAAUCAUGAAACAUGAAUUCAAAUUAUCAAGAAUGACAUAAUACCACCUCCAAUGAUACGGAAGAAAGAAUUGCACUCUGGAUUACAAUAUGAAGAAAGCUUGAGCUUCUUGGAAAAGAAUCUCGAUGAACACUUCGAGAAUGAAUUAAAUCAUAGAUGAACCAUCAUGUAGAACCUUCAUGAAGAACUCCGGUAAACAAAAGAAUGAUCGGACGGAAAGAAAGAUGAGAAAAAUAAGGUUAAAACCUUGCAAUGAUUAGAUGAAGCUUAGCAAUGAGAUAAAGAGAAAACUUGGCACUCUGGAAAAGAAAGAUGAACAAAUGGAACAAGAAUUUGAUGAGCCUCCGGAAUAAGGAAUUAAUCACUUGUGCGAAACAAGAGUAAGAAUUAUGUUAUGCGUAUCCUUCACCAAUUAAAUUGAUGACCAACAAUGGAUUUGGCAUACUACUUAUUCUCGAAGAAAGGAUUAGGAUAGAUAUGGCGUCAACUUGAGAAGGUCUUCAACGAACCACCGAUAGAAUUUGAAAGAACGGGAGUAUGAUAACGUAAGAAGAGGAAUCUUGAAUGAAACACCGUAAGACUUAAAAAUGAAGGAAGAGAAGAUAAAGAAAACACCGGGAAGAAUUAGCAAAUGAAUGAAGAUGCUUGAGAGAAUUUAGAUAUAUGAGAACAAAGAGAUGACGAGCUGAUUAGAGAACACUUGAACGAUGCACCGGUAAGAUUAGGAGGACGAGAGCUGAAAGCUGAGAAUAAACAAGUCUUCUGAAAUGAUGGGCUCCGGAUAAUCGAACUGAAAAUACCCUUGAAUAUAUCCUGAUGGGUGAAAAAAAAGAUUCUCACAAUCGAAAACAAUUAUGAGAGGAUGGCAACAAGCUAGCACCAUGAAUCUUGAAGAGAAUGGAGCAAGAUUAAAGAGAAACUCUUCUUCGGUCUCCAAAAGAUGAGAAUGACAACGAGAAACACCACCAAGAAUUAUUGAGGCACCGGAAUAGAGAAGAAUAUAAAAGUUGAAUCAACAAUGAAAUGAAUUUGAAAGAUCUUGGAGAAAGACAUUUGACUGAUGACAAUUCAUUCUUACGUCAAACUUCGAAAAGAAAUUUGAGGAUAGCUCCGGGAAAAUAAGAAGAGUCAGGUAAAAUCCUGGGAAAAGACCUGUGGGUUAGGGCCCACUCAAAAGAAACACCAUUGAAAUGAUUUAAAAGAGAGGUUGCACCGUUUGAAUUAAAAGGCUUGAAUGAGAGAACAUCUUCAAGAGAUCUUGAACGAAUGCAGAGUGGAAACACGAAUCUUCGAGAUAUCUUGAGCACUCUGGAACAAUUGAAUAGCGAGAGGUGAAUGAUAAAGAGGUGCACCUGUAAGAAAAGGUAUUUGAAACAAGGAAAAAGAAUAUGAUCAACAAAACUUGACUUGAAACCACCGGAGAUGAAAAGAAUGAAGAAUGACGAACUUGAAGCUCCGUUAGAGUCUUCAUGAAAAUCACCGGGUAAGAACAUUGACGGAAAAGAAUGGGGAGUCUUCAUAUCAAUAAGAUGAUACUUGAUUAAGAAAUCUGAGUCCUUAAAGAAAAAGGGUGGGUGGGUGGGAAAAAUAAAGUCAACUUGGAACGGAUGAAGACAACACCGUUGAGAAGCACUGAUACUUGAUCUUGCUGAUAUUGAAAAGAUCGGAUCCACUUGAAGAGAGAUACACCUGUUAAAAAGGAUUGACAUGACACUAUCGAUUAUCAUGAAGUAUUAGUAUCCACAUGGGAAUAUGAGAACACCGUUUAGGAAAGGUAAGGAAUCAACACUUGACACUGAAGCAACUCGAAUACCACAACUCCAAACAAAAACAAAGGAUUUGCUUGUAGAAUAAGCCGGAACAAACAUAUGAUAGAGAAUUCGUCCGAAGUUUUCGUGGUGGGGCCUACACGGGCUCGAUCAUACAGCACCAUCAUGUACAAGGCAGUGCACAUGACAUACGAAGCGUCCCCGAGUCGGCAUAGCCAAGGACUCUUUAAGACACAACGAGACCAUUGUAAAACCGACCGUGAAUAGGCGGACCACUAGACGUCGAACCCCAAUUUCAGAUCAUACAUCUGUCGGAAAGAUAUCCUAAGACUACUUGAAUUACCACUUAUAAACUCCCGAAAUUUUCCGAUUAUGCAAUCAGGUGUUGGGGAUACAGGGGAAGCAUAAUAUCUCACCCAAAACUAGCAAAUCCUACAUCCAGCUGUAUCCAUCCUUCAACACAUAACCAAGAAACCUUCAGAAAUCAUCUACCUCAACCUUUGAAAAGCAUCCGUUAUACAAGUUAUGGCAAUACUCCCGAACUCCCGCCCCAGUACUGGGUGGUGUCGAGGUUAUCUCAUCAACGAACUGCAUAAAAGAGAUUUUCGAUGUCGGCGUACUAAACUCAGGUAUUCCAGAAUUGCAACGAUAAAAUUGUGACGACAACACCUCGGAGCUCAACUCCCCGGGACACUUCCACAAAACCCCUGACAGGAGGCACCAAGACAAUGUUCUCGUCACAAAACCAUCAGAACGAUUCCAAGAUACCCGCGUGAUCCUAAAAUUUUUUAGUGAAAUUUGAGAAGAGAAGAGUCAAAACUCUACGUCAGGAUGCCUUACCAGAGCGAUGAGGAGACUGGGAAGUAAAAGAGUUCCUAAACUCUCCGAUAUAUAAUUCCUAAAUGACUCAAAACAUUUUUCUAGACACAACUAGGCUGCUAAAACGAUCAAGCAAUGGGGCUCCUAAGGUCGGGGAAGGCUCUGAUACCAACUUGUAACGCCCUCGAUGCGGCUAUAGCUCCCACGUGUCGAGGCACGACUUAGAGGCAUAACCGCAUUGAAAGCAAUGUCGCAAGUUAGGCAAUCUUCACAACAUCCCAUGUAAUAUAGAUAAUAAAAGGGGAGAUACAUAGUUGGCCUACAAUCGCCACUUCACACAAUUACAUGAAUAAAGCAUUACAUCAUCCAGAUACAAACAAGGUCCGACUACGGAACCAAAAUAAAAGAAGAAGCCCAAAUGCGACACGGUCCCGAUCGACCCCAACUGGGCUCCACUACUGAUCAACUAGAAUGAAACAACACAAAUUACAAGAUCUUCAUUGAGCCCCUCCUGAGCUUGGUUGCAUCAUCUGCACGGACUCAUCGGCACCUGCAAGCUGGUUUUGGAAGAAUCUGUGAGUCACGGGGACUCAGCAAUCUCGCACCCUCGCGAUCAAGACUAUUUAAGCUUAUGGGUAAGGUAAAGGUAUGAGGUGGAGCUGUAGCAAGCGACUAGCAUGUAUGGUGGCUAACAUAUUCACAAAAGAGAGCGAGAAGAGAAGGCAAAGCACGAUCGGGAAACUAUGAUCAAGCAGUGAUCCUAGAACAACCUACGUCAAACAUAACUCCAACACCGUGUUCACUUCCCGGACUCCGCCAGAAAGAGACCAUCACGGUUACACACGCGGUUGAUGCAUUUUAAUUAAGGUCAGCUUCAGGUUUUCUACAACCGGACAUUAACAAAUUCCCAUCUGCCCAUAACCAUGGGCACGGCUUUCGAAAGUUCAAAUCCCUGCAGGGGUGUCCCAACUUAGCCCAUGACAAGCUCUCACGGUCAACGAAGGAAUAGACCUCCUCCCGAGACAUUUCGAUCAGACUCGGUAUCCCGGUUCUACAAGACAUCCUCGACAAUGGUAAAACAAGUCCAGCAAGACCGCCCGAUGCGCCGACAUCCUGAUAGGAGCUGCACAUAUCUCGUUCUCAGGGCAACACCGGAUGAACACUACGUACAGCUAAAACCAGCCCUCAAGUUUCCCCGAGGUGGCGCCGCAAGUGGCUCUAGUUUGGACCAACACUUAGACAAGCACUAGCCCGGGGGGUUAAAAUAAAGAUGACCCUCGGGAUGCACGACUCCCAAGGGAAAAAGUCUAGGUGGCGAAUGGUAAAACCAAGGUUGGGCCUUGCUGGAGGAGUUUUAUUCAAAGCAAACUGUCAAGGGGUUCCCAUUAUAACCCAACCGCGUAAGGAACGCAAAAUCCGGUAACAUAACACCAAUAUGACGGAACUAGGGCGACAAGAGUGGAACAAAACACCAGGCAUAAGGCCGAGCCUUCCACCCUUUACCAAGUAUAUAGAUGCAUUAAUUAAAUAAGAUAUAUUGUGAUAUCCCAACAAGUAAACAUGUUCCAACAAGGAACAACAACUCCAUGUUCCAACACGGAACAAACUUCAAUCUUCACCUGCAACUAACAACGCUAUAAGAGGGGCUGAGCAAAGCGGUAACAUAGCCAAACAACAGUUUGCUAGGACAAGGUGGGUUAGAGGCUUGGUUCAACAAUAUGGGUGGCAUGAUAAGCAAGUGGUAGGUAUCGCGGGGCAUAGCAAAAGAGCGAGCAACUAAGCAAGCAAAGAUAGAAGUGAUUUCGAGGGUAUGGUCAUCUUGCCUGAAAUCCCGCAAGGAAGAAGAACGAGUCCAUGAAGAAGACAAAUGGACGUAGUCAAACGGGUCCUCACAAACGCGACGUUAUCGGAACCAACCCGAAGAAGCAAACACCAGAAAAGAAGCACACAACAUAGUAAACAACCAACACAUGAACAUGGUAUGAUAUGCGGGAUGCGGUAUGCGAUGCAUAUGCAUGAUUUGCAAAGGAAUGAAUGAACCUGGCCUCAACAUGGAAAUCCAAGUGUGCCACUGGAAAGAUGAGAUGAAAUCGCUUGAAAACGAUAUAAAGAUCACCGGAAUCGGAGUUACGGUUUGAAAAUGGCAAGCAAUUCAGAUAUGACCCCGUUCUGCGAUUUACAGCAAGUAGCCAUCUAAAUGCAACAAGGUGAACAUGCUACAACACCCAAACAUGGCAACAAAAUACAUGGCAGGAUCCAUUCAUGAUGCUUAACAAAAGUCUAGCACUGAGCUACGGCUAAUUCAUCCAUUAACAGGUUCAAACAAACAUGGCAAAAAUGCAUUUGGUAAACCGCAUGCCAAGUCUCGGUCCAAUCCGGAAAUGUUUAACCCCCAUGCACGAAAGAAAGGUAGAAAUGACCACCGGAGGAGAACGAAGCGCCGGAAUGCAAAACUGACAACGGGGAAAAUGCUCGGAUGCAUGAGACGAACACGUAUGCAAAUGAAAUGCACAUGAUGACAUGAUAUGCAAUGCAUGGCACGCAAGCAAUGACAAGGAAACAACAGCGAAUAACUAGAUGACACCUGGCACAUCGGUCUCGGGGCGUUACACAGCUCCUCAAGAAGCAGCUAAUCACAGCACCAGUACUCGCCCUUCCAGACUUUUCCAAGCCCUUCUACGUUGAAACAGAUGCUAGCGAUCGUGGGAUAGUAGCAGUCUUGCAGCAAGGGGGGCAUCCAGUUGCGUUCAUGAGCAAAGCAUUGGCACCACGCUAUCAAGGCUUGUCCACGUACGAGAAGGAAUAUCUAUCGGUAAUCGUCGCAGUAGAUCAAUGGCGUCCGUACUUGCAGCACGGAGAAUUUACGAUCUACACAUAUCAGAAAAGCUUGAUCCAUUUGGAAGAACAAUGACUCUCAACACCGUGGCAACAAAAGGCCUUCACAAAACUGCUCGGCCUCCAGUAUUCCAUCAAAUACAAAAAGGGGGCUGAAAACACCACUGCGGAGGCACUAUCCCGAGCUGAAACAAUAGACGUUCUCAAUGUGAUCACGUCGUGCAAGCCGGCAUGGUUGGAUGACAUCUUGACAAGCUACAACUCCAACCCGCAAGCAUAGAAAUUAUUGGAGCAACUCGCAGUUCGGCCAGAUCCUAAAGAGAGGUUCUCACUCACCCAGGGGCUCCUACGAUUCUGUGGGCGCAUCUGGCUAGGGGCUCAACGGCGCAGCAGCAGCGCAUCAUCACAACGUUCUAUGAUAGCCCGAUGGGAGGCCACUCCAGAAUCCCAGCAACAUAUCGACACAUUCGCCGGUUGUUUGCUUGGCCUAAGAUGAAAGCACAUAUUCAUCAAUACAUCCGAUGUUGUCCAGUCUGCCAGCAGGCUAAACCUGACCGUACAGCCGCCCCGGGACUCCUUCAGCCUCUCCCCAUUCCAACAGCGCCGUGGGAGAUGAUCACCAUGGAUUUCAUCAACGGUCUGCCUCAGUCGGCCAAGUUCAACUGCAUUCUGGUGAUUGUCGACAGGCGCACCAAGUUCGUGCACUUCUUACCCAUGGCGCAUCCAUACACCACAGCUAAGGUGGCACUCUUAUACAUGAACCAAAUCUACAAGCUUCACGGUCUACUUGGAGCAAUAGUCUUGGAUCGAGACCCGGUCUUCACCAGCCACUUCUGGCAAGAACUCUUCAAGUAUGCAGGCUCGGAACUUCGGAUGAGCACAACCAACCACCCUCAAACGGACGGGCAAACUGAAAGGGUCAACCAGUGCCUAGAAACAUACCUGCGUUGCUUCACUCACGCAUGCCCAAGACGAUGGAGCUAUUGGAUUCCUUUGGCACAAUUUUGGUACAACUCAUCUUACCACUCUGCGAUAGGCAUGCCACCUUUCAAAGCUCUUUUCGGCCAGGAACGACGUCAUUGGGGGAUCACAACAUCUUGAACAUGCACGGUGCCGUCUCUGCAGAACUGGCUGGAAGAGAGAACAGUCAUCCAGGACAUGUUGCAGCAGCACUUAAAUCGAGCGCGUCAAUACAUGAAGACAUAGGCGGACAAGAAAAGAUCCUGGAGGCAAUUCGAGGUCGGAGAUGAAGUCUACCUCAAGCUCCAGCCAUACAUUCAGGCAUCUGUCGCUCCGCGGGCGAACCACAAGCUCUCCUUCAAGUAUUUCGGACCGUUUCCAAUAAUCGCAAAAAUCAAUGAGGUCGCCUACAAGCUCCAACUGCCAACCGAAGCUGCUGUACAUCCAGUCUUCCACGUCUCUCUGCUUCGUCGUGCGCUUCGCCCAGGAACUGAAGCCUCAACGCUUCUACCAGCGGACCAGGACGCGAAGGCCAUCCCGGUGGAGAUCCUCCAAACACGCUGGCGCAAGACGGCGGGGACAAUGAUCGAGCAAGUCCAGGUGCGCUGGUCACCAGGUUCUACGGUGGGCAUCACCUGGGAGGACAAGGCCGCGCUCUUCGACCGGUUCCCACGGGCGGAGGCUUGGGGGCAAGCCUCAACACAAGAAGGGGGGAUGUUAGCGCCCCUGACAUGCCGGCUCCACCGUCCACCAACGGAGGAACCAGCCCGGGCCAGCCUGUGCGUCACGCCAAGCCCAACAGAAGGGUGACUGGCCCAGAAUGGGUCCGGUAGGCCCAACGGGGCGUUGCUACUUAAGUCACCCACCGGGCUGGAGAGAGAUCCAUCCAGAGGAUCAACGAACCCGGCGGCGGCUACCAUUUCCCUGCUUGAACCCUAGUUCUCCUCAUUCUUGUAAUUCCAUCGAGUGUAUCCAGAUAUUGCCACUUCUUAAUAGAUCCUCAAGUAGAACCUAUCAUCAUGCUGCUGGUGGAUACUCACACGAACUAGGAUUAAUUCAUCUCAUAUUUGAUUCAGUUUUAAUCUCCUAUUCUAUUUGCUUUUGUUUGGAUGCAAUGCUUGCUUCAAUGAAAUUUGUUUGAGUGUAUCUAUGUUAUAUCUGAUGUGUAAUGGAUCAUUAUGACAUCUAUGAAUUUUGGUUAAUUUCUUGUGCAGAUCACAAUAACUUGAUUCCCAAUAUUAGCGGUAAUAUGAGUUUUGACAUGAUUUCAAAGUGCAUGCCUCCAUCGAAGUAUAUAUAUGUUACAAACUAAAAAAUGUCCAUGCUUCUUACAAAUUUACAAAUGCUUCUGUAAUCAAUCUUUUUGGCUUCCAAAUGCCAAAUAAUAAUGCAGAUAAAUCUAUAUGUUGGCCAUUCAAAACAUCCAUCCUUGAUAGCCAAAUACUUUUAGUUUUGCUUCAAUAUCCAUUAUGCUAUGGUUCAAUUUGAACCCAUGUAUAUAGUAUAUCUUCUAGGUAUCUUUUAUAUAGCAUAUUUUCAUCCAACCUACAAUCGGAACUUCAAAUAUGUAAUUUGCUUCCAUAGUUGCUAAUACCAUUGUUAUUCCUACUGAAACAUGCAAUGCUUCAAAAAUUAUAUUACAUAUCUUUCUUUCUUCCUUACAUUAGUGCUUCCAUAGUUCCAUCCUACAAAACCAAACCAUACAUUUUUUGUGCUUCCUUCAUACAAUUUUAAUUCUGACAACGUGUUAUAACCGGGCAGACUUAUGCCCGUAGGAGGCCCACCGGGCAGGUUUAGUUAGGUGCUGAGCCCACACGUUAUCUUAUUUUUAAUUUCCAUCAUGGUUAUAUAUACAAGUUGUAAGACUCUUUUGAGAAUUAAGCAAUAAGACAAAUCCUAUUGCCUGGCUCCCAGAGGAGCCGGAACCCUAAACCCUAACCGCACCUUGCGCUGCCGCCACCUCACCUCUAGAGCGCCACAGCGCUACACCGCCGGCAGCCGCGCUCAAGCAUUCACCAUCCCUCCUCUUUCCCAUACAACUUACGCCCUAGACCGGGUAGGUUCCUAGCUCCUACCAAUUUGGUAUCAGAGCUCUUGGGCCCGAUCAUGUCUGCAUAACCGCCCACCCCACCGCUACCUACCUCGCCGCUGCCCAUCACCACCGCAUCGCCAACUCUCUCCACCAUGCCACUCGCCCUCUCCACUGUGUUGCUGGGUCUCCCCACCGCGCCGCUCGGUUCCACCGCCGGGGCCGCCAUCGGCCAGACACCGCCCUCCACCACGCCGCCCGCCACCGCCUACUCCCCGGCGGAGAUCACCAGGGUCCUCAACGAUCUCGUCACCACCGUCCAGGGGAUACGGCUAUACCUGGCCAGCCCCUACGGGUUGCCGCUGUCGUUGCCGCCGGCCGCCGCGAUCGGGCCGGCUGGCCCCCGUGGUACUCGGCACUCGUGGCGCUUGCAGGGCCCCUCCACCACCACUGGCCGCCGCAGCCACCGCCCGCCGCCGUGCCACAAUGGCCGGCGCCAGCCCUCGUUGCGCCACCCACGCCGCCCGGGUCCUUCCUGCCGCAGCUACCGUUGUCGGCCCCGCCGCCACCUAGCACUUGGCCCGGGUCAACCAUGCAGGGAGGCGUGCCGAUCCAGCAAGUCUGCUUCCCGCCGUCGCCGUCCCCAAUUCUGGCCUGGCUGACCAGAUCAUCAUUGUCGCAUGUCUACACGUCGGCUGGGGACCCACUGGCGCCCAGUCUGCAGUACGGUGACCCAUCCGGCUCCGCGGGUCACUACAUGGGCCGUGCCAGCACUGACUGGGCAUCCCCAGCCUCGCUGCUCUGCACCUCCGAGCUAGUUGUCCAUAGCGCUCCGACCCAGACGCCGCCACGGUUCCCCAAAAUUGACUUCGCCACUUAUGACGGCACGGAGGACCCCCUCAACUGGCUCAACCAGUGCGAGCAGUUCUUUCACGGGCAACGCACCCUAGCAUCAGAGUGCACCUGGCUCGCCUCUUACCACCUCCGCGGCACGACACGGACAUGGUAUUACGCCCUCAAGCAGGACGAGGGCAGGAUGCCUCCUUGGGAGCGCUUUCGUGAGCUCUGCCUCCUUCACUUUGGGCCACCGAUCUGCGGGAGCCGCCUGGUAGAGCAAGGCCGCCUUCCCUUCACCUCCACGGUGCAGGACUUCGCCGACUAGUUUCAGGCCCUGGCACGCCACGCGUCGGGCAUGACGGUGCAGCAGCAGGCCGACCUCUUCAUUGGUGGACUUUCGGAUUGAAGAAAUAUGCCCUAGAGGCAAUAAUAAAGUUGUUAUUUAUAUUUCCUUAUAUCAUGAUAAAUGUUUAUUAUUCAAGCUAGAAUUGUAUUAACCGAAAACUCAGUAUAUGUGUGAAUACAUAGAAAAACAGAGUGUCACUAGUUUGCCUCUACUUGACUAGCUCGUUGAAUCAAUGAUGGUUAUGUUUCCUAACCAUAGACAUGAGUUGUCAUUUGAUUAACGAGAUCACAUCAUUAGAGAAUGAUGUGAUUGACUUGACCCAUCUGUUAGCUUAGCACGAUGAUCAUUUAGUUUGUUGCUAUUGCUUUCUCCAUAACUUAUACAUCUUCCUAUGACUAUGAGAUCAUGCAACUCCUGAAUACUGGAGGAACACUUAGUGUGUGCUACCAAACGUCACAACAUAACUGGGUGAUUAUAAGGGUGCUCUACAAGUGUCUUCGAUGGUGUUUGUUGAGUUGGCAUAGAUCGAGAUUAGGAUUUGUCACUCCGAUUGUCGGAGAGGUAUCUCUGGGCCCUCUCGGUAAUGCACAUCACUAUAAGCCCUUCAAGCAAUGUGACUAAUGAGUUAGUUGCGGAAUGAUGCAUUACGGAAUGAUUAAAGAGACUUGCCAGUAACGAGAUUGAACUAGGUAUUGAGAUACCGACGAUCGAAUCUCAGGCAAGUAACACACUGAUGACAAAGGGAACAACGUAUGUUGUUAUGCGGUUUGACCGAUAAAGAUCUUCAUAGAAUAUGUAGGAGCCAAUAUGAGCAUCCAGGUUCCCCUAUUGAUUAUUGACCGGAGACAUGUCUCGGUCAUGUCUACAUAGUUCUCGAACUAGUAGGGUCCGCACGCUUAACAUUCGGUGACGAUCGGUAUUAUGAGUUUAUGUGUUUUGAUGUACCAAAGAUAGUUCGGAGUCCUGGAUGUGAUCACAGACAUGACGAGGAAUCUCGAAAUGGUUGAGACAUAAAGAUUGAUAUAUUGGACAGCUAUAUUCGGACACCGGAAGUGUUCCGGGUGAUUUCGGAGAAAACCGGAGUACCGGAGGGUUACCGGAACCCCCUCGGGAGAACUAAUGGGCAACAUGGGCCUUAUUGCAGAGAGAGAGGGCCGGCAAGGGCAGGCCGCGCUCCCCCACCCCCUCUGGGACAAAUUGGAGUAGGGAAGGGGGCGGCACCCCCCUUUCCUUCUCCCUCUCCUCCUCCCUUACCCCUCCUAGGAGUAGGAAAGGGGAGUCCUACUCCUACUAGGAGGAGGACUCCUCUCCUGGCGCGCCCCAAGGGUCGGCCGGCCUCCCCCUUUCUCCUUUAUAUACGGGGGCAGGGAGCACCCUAGAACAAACAAUUUGAUUGUUUCCAGCCGUGUGCGGUGCCCCCCUCCACCAUAAUCCACCUCGGUCAUAUCGUAGUGGUGCUUAGGCGAAGCCCUGUUCCGGUAGCAUCAUCAUCACCGUCAUCAUGCCGUCGUGCUGACAAAGCUCUCCCUCAACAUUCUACUAGAUCUUGAGUUUGUGGGACGUCACCGAGCCAAACGUGUGUAGAUCGUGGAGGUGUCGUACCUUCGGUACUAGGAUCGGUCGAUCGUGAAGACGUACAACUACAUCAACUAUGUUGUCACAACGCUUCCUCUUACGGUCUACUAGGGUACAUGGACAACACUCUUCCCUCUCGUUGCUAUGCAUCACCAUGAUCUUGCGUGUGCAUAGGAUUUUUUUUGAAAUUACUACAUUCCCCAACACGGAUCACAUCCGCGUUGAUCUGGAGCUUCGGGGACCCUAGGAUCUCCAAACGACCAUGUAUUACACCCGCGCCUUCGAGUGUUGCGCCCACGCCAUGCAGCAGGCGGCCCCUACUCGAGGAGGCCGACAGGCCGCCAGGCAGCCCCCUGCGCGUGGCCGGCCACCCCCGGCCGCUCCGGCGACUACCACCCCGGCCGCGACGCGGCCCUUCUGUCGUCUCUCUCAGGUUGAGCAGCUGGAGCAUCGGCGUCACAGGCUUUGCUUAAACUGCGAUGAUCCCUACACGCCGGGCCAUGUCUGCCCGCGCCUCUUCUACUUGGAGACGGCCGACUGCGUCGAGGAGGACACCCCGGCUGACGGGCUCGGCGAGCUGCCGCCCCAAGCGGCUGCCGAGGCCGCCACCACGGCCGCCCCGGCGACGACACUCAUGGUCUCGCUCCAUGCGCUUGCCGGCAUCCGCAACGAGCGGACCAUGCUCUUGCUAGUGAUGAUACACGGCGAGCGCCUGGUGGACCUCUUGGAUACGGGCUCCACACAUAACUUCCUGCCCGUGGCUACCAUGUGCCACUUAGCAGUUUAGCUGACGGGUGGGGAGCAACUUCGGGUCACGGUGGCCAACAAUGACCGUCUCCAAUGUCAUGGGCUCACGCGGAAUGUUCCCAUCACCAUCAUCGACGAGCACUUCACCAUCACGUGCGCGGGCAUCAACUUGGGGUGCAUUGACUUCAUCCUCGGCGUUGACUUCUUGUGGACCCUCGGUCCCAUCCUCUGGGACUUCGACGCCCUGACGUUGACCUUCUGGAGUCUCGGUUGCCGCGCCCAGUGGGAGGGCGUUGGGGGUGCCUCACCGGCGACACCGCAACUCCAGCUAGCGGCGACCACUACCGAGGCCGAGCACCCACUGUUGGAUCACCUCCUACAGAAGCACGGUGACCUCUUCGAUGAGCCGCGGGGCUCCCGCCAGCCCGGGUGUAUGAUCACCACAUUAAUCGCCUGCCAGGCUUGGCGCCGGUGACAGUCUGGCCAUACCGCUAUCAGCAGCUGUAGAAGGACGAGUUGGAGCGGGAAUACACGCUCAUGCUCGCCGCGGGCAUCAUCCGGAUCUCCACAUCACCGUUCUCCGUGCCAUUUCUCCUCAUCCGCAAGUCAGACGGCACGUGGCGCUUCUGCAUUGACUACCACACCCUUAAUGCCCUGACGCUUAAGGACAAGUUUCCUAUCCCGGUGGUUGAUGAGCUCCUGGACGAGCUACAUGGGUCACACUUCUUCACCAAGCUCGAUCUCUGGCCGGGUUACCACCAGGUGCGCAUGCACCCGAAUGAUAUCACCAAGACGGCAUUUUGGACUCAUCACGGUCACUUCGAGUUCUUGGUCAUGUUGUUUGGUCUCUCCAAUGCACCAAGGACUUUUCAGGCUCUGAUGAACAACAUCCUCCGCCCCUACUUGCACCGGUUUGUGCUCGUUUUCUUUGAUGAUAUUCUUAUCUACAACCUCUCAUGGGCGGAGCACCUUCAGCACGUCGCCAUCGUCUUCAACGAGCUUCGAGCGCAUCAUCUUCAUCUUAAGCGCUCGAUGUCAGUGUCAAAACCGGCGGAUCUCAGGUAGGGGGUCCCGAACUGUGCGUCUAAGGCAGAUGGUAACUGGAGGAAGGGGACACGAUGUUUACCCAGGUUCGGGCCCUCUUGGUGGAGGUAAUACCCGACAUCCUGCUUGAUUGUUCUUGAUGAUAUGAGUAUUACAAGAGUUGAUCUACCAUGAGAUCAAAGAGGCUAAACCCUAGAAGCUAGCCUAUGGUAUGAUUGUAUGUUGUCCUACAGACUAAACCCUCUGGUUUAUAUAGACACCGGAGGGAGCUAGGGUUACACAAGGUCGGUUACAAAGGAGGAGAUAUACAUAUCCGUAUUGCCUAGCUUGCCUUCCACGCCAAGUAGAGUCCCAUCCGGACACGGGACAAAGUCUUCAAUCUCGUAUCUUCAUAGUGCAACAGUCCAGUCAAAGGAUAUUGUCCGGCUGUCCGGAGACCCCCUAAUCCAGGACUCCCUCAAUAGCCCCUGAACCAGGCUUCAAUGACGAUGAUUCCGGCGCGUAGUGUUGUCUUCGGCAUUGCAAGGCGGGUUCCUCCUCCGAAUACACCGUGGAAGAGUUUGAAUACAAGGAUAGUGUCCGACCCUGCAAAAUAAGUUCCACAUACCACUGUAGAGAGAAUAAUAUUUUCACAAAUCUAAUCUGCUGACACAUUUGACAACAUGACAUCACGCCAUGGCCCGGUCAUUAUUUGAACCAUUUUUCUCAACCAGCUCCGCACAUAACGCGAGGCGGUUUUCUUGACACGCCUUGUCAAAGCAGAGAUCGUGUCCCCCUUAUCACGGGAUUCUCAUCAAUACAGACGUGGGUAACCCAAUCAUGCAUGUUGGUAUGACUCCUAAAUCUNNNNNNNNNNNNNNNNNNNNNNNNNNNNNNNNNNNNNNNNNNNNNNNNNNNNNNNNNNNNNNNNNNNNNNNNNNNNNNNNNNNNNNNNNNNNNNNNNNNNNNNNNNNNNNNNNNNNNNNNNNNNNNNNNNNNNNNNNNNNNNNNNNNNNNNNNNNNNNNNNNNNNNNNNNNNNNNNNNNNNNNNNNNNNNNNNNNNNNNNNNNNNNNNNNNNNNNNNNNNNNNNNNNNNNNNNNNNNNNNNNNNNNNNNNNNNNNNNNNNNNNNNNNNNNNNUUAUGUCCGGAUCCAACCUUCAAGGUCGGUGGAUGCCUUCCUCCGUCACAAAGGAGGACAUCAAGAAGUUGAGAGAGGCCAGAUAUCUGACCGCCGAAAUUGCGCAUAGGCUGCCUGCCCGAGGGCAGGUCGUCCCUACUCCCGAACCCAACGAGAGCGUCGUGUUCAUCUCCCACUUCCUCCGAGGACUAGGCCUCGCUCUAGAUCCCUUUGUUAGGGGUCUUAUGUUCUAUUAUGGGCUGGAUUUUCACGAUCUGGCCCCGGAUUCGCUUCUUCACAUCUCGUCAUUUAUUGUCGUAUGUGAGGCCUUCCUCUGCAUUACCCCUCACUUCGGCCUGUGGCUCAAGACCUUCGAUGUGAGGCCGAAGAUGAUCGAGGGGCGGCACGCAGCAUGUGGAGGUGAUUUAAUAAGCAAAAUCGCUGAUGCUCCAUGGCCAGAGGGUUCCUUCCCAGAGGUGUCCGGAUUGUGGCAGCAGGAGUGGUUUUACAUCACAGCUCCCCGAAGUGCCAAGUGGGUAGCUGCCCCCACCUUUCGCUUGGGCCCCCCACCGCAACUGAUGUCAUGGAUCAGCAGGGGCUGAGCUGGGGUCCAGCAAAGGACGUGCCAAUAUCGCAGAGCCGUAUCCAAGAUCUCUUUGAGAGAGAUUUCAGUCUGGUUAUGGUAAUGCAAGUUAUGCUAGUUUGCCGAGUCCAUCCUUGCAAACGUCGGCCCCUCCGCAUGUGGGAAUUCAACCCGGAAGGACCGUGAGCUAUUCCACAUUUCCUCGGCAUAACACUCGAAGAGAUGUACAAAUUGUUCUUCGGACCCCAAAUAGAGUGUUCGGACACCACCGAGGGCGUGGGUCUGAGCUGCAAUCGCCCCGCUACCCAAGUAAGUAAUCCCAUGUCGAACCUACUGUCCUUUUAUUUAUCAUGGCAUCAUUCUAAAGAGCCGCUCUUUGACCAAGACUGGAUAACAAAGGCGAUGAUGAUUAGGUGUUCGGCCCCCCUUCCCGAGGGCUUGGACAAUCCGGUACUGGACAAGAUGCUCGAGCCGGUGCCUUAUCCAGUGCCCUCAAAGGAAGAUGAUGGGGGAAUAGAGAGGGCAAAAGCGGGCCUCACUCGCUACUUAUUCCAGCCGGGGGAAUGAGCGCCUCCAUGAGGGAGGACAACCAAAGGGAAGAAUCUGACAUUCUCUCUCCCUGGGGAAGGAAGAGGACUACCUGUGAAGAUCCAGGAACUAAGGUUUCCAAACGGGAGAAGAAAUCUUCAUCAGAGGGUCCUGCCUCGGAGGGUAUUCUUGCUGCACAAUGUCCGUGCGGGGAUCAACCCUCUACCGAGCUGUAAGUAAUCGAAAAGUACUUAAUAGUGGAAACAUCCUACCUAACUUCCAAAGACAAUAACCGAUGCUUGUAAAUUGUAGUCCGGAUCAUAGCCCUUCUCGACAGAGUUCGUCUUCGGGGGAUCUUCUUCCGGAGAUGAUGGAGAGCGAAACGCCUCCCCCUGACACCCCGCCUCAUGAAGCAAGCGACUUUGAAGUGUCAUCAUGAAGGGUAUCUCCAGAUCCACUAAGGCAAGAGGAUAACCCUUUGGCUACCCGGAAUCCCUAGUAUCCGGCUCCUAAGGAGAGCGACAGCAAGGGUCCGUACAGUGUGCGGUCGGACGUGCUGAAGGAUCUUCUGGGGCAAGCGGCCAUCUCGGAAGCGCAUCGUAUGCUAAUGGGUACGGUGAUUGAAAGGAUUUCAUCCGCUGAAAGCGGUUUGCAUGAAGCCUUUAUGAGUCCGCUGAAAGGCUUCGAGGUACGUGAAAUAGUGUAUGUUUUUGAUAGUACCACAUACGUAAGGUGUGCCCUAUGCAGAUAGUAGCCCCUGAGACUCUGGUUAUCGUCAAGAACGGCGGCAACCCGAGGAUCAUAUACCCAGGUAAUAAUUCGAUUGCCUUCAUGUGCAGGUGGCUGAGGCUACGGUGGCUAGCCGAACUGAUGGAUUUACCGAGCUAAAGCGGCAACUUGAUGCGGCCGAUGCGGAUAUCGUGCUUGUCAACCAGCGGCUUGACAAGGCACAAGGUGAGUGAUUUCUAUGGUGAUCAUCACAUAAUAAGAGUAGCAUGAUGCCAGUAUCUUUAAUAUGUUGUGACUGCAGAUGGAGCUGCCACCGUGGAGACCCUUCGGGUGGAGCUUGCUCGAGCCAAGGAGCAAGCAAGGAGUAGCAAUGCGGCCGCUCUAAAGGCGGCCAUAGAGUUAAGGGCCGAACAGGCCACGCAUUGCGAGAGCAAGGAAAAAAUAGCCAAGAUGGCUGUAGAGUUAAAAGAUGCCGCUGACCGUUACCAGCUUCUUGAAGAAGAAAACCAGGCAAAGGAGACGGACCUGGAGAAGGCCCUGGUGGCUGGCAAGGAAGCGCGCUCCAAAAUUAGAGCGACGAAGGAGGAGCUGAAUCAAGCUGCAGAUAUCGUGUCUGGGAAGCCCUUCUUGUUGCGGACUAAGUUCGGAGAUCCGAAGUAUGCUCCUCGGGACCGGCUAUGGAGUUCUGCGGAUGCCUACAUGGAUUUGGCUGCAAGUGCUGCUGAUGCGGCCGAGUACUUCAAGGAUCAGAAAGGCCCCGAAGUGGAAAAGCUGUUCUGGUCAUAGUUUCAUGCUCCAGUCCGUCCGCUGCUGUUGAAUGAGCGAAUGGCCAAGUGGGUCGAGCUCCAUAGGUUGUCCGGACUUGCCAUGAGGUCCGUUGUGGAUCACCUGUGGCUAGGAGGGCUAAGGCCGAAUAACUACUUUAGUUUAGUGCAACAAUUCCUUGGUGAUGUGCCACGCAUCGAUGCUGUAAAGAGAUCGGCGUGCAUAGAGGGUGCGCGGAUGGCCUUUGCCCGUGUCAAGACAUACUGGGCGGAGAUGGAGGCCACCACUGUUGUGACACAGGGUUCGGCCAUAGGCCGAGUGGCUACCGAGCACUACUUUGAAGAAGUUCUUGAAGGCGCUCGUUCGAUAGAGGCUUAGUGCUCGAAGAAUAUUAUGUUCUAGUGACAUGUAUUCCCAUUGUAAAAACAAUGUUUUAUUGAAUUAUCAAGGCUGGAUUUAUACUUUUGCCCGUAAGUACUAUGAUGCCUCUUGUGCGGCCGUUUAUGUAUAUAUGUAUAUAACCUGAAAGUUUGCAGUCGUCGGCUUCCGCCCCCACGCAUAUAAUGCGGGGGUGUUCGCAGAAAAUUCAUAUCCACACUUGAUCCAAUGUCUUGGUCCAUUAAGGAGGUGAUAGCACAGCGAACGAGGCAAUCGGACUAUAUUGCUUUAACACUUUCACUUAGCCAUAAGAGUUUGACGGUGGGGCUACUAUAUAGCCCCUGGUAAUUCUGCGCUCGUCUGAAUACGGGGCAUGUGCAUACAUGACCGUGAAACGGCCCUUCGUUAAUGUGGAGGAAUCCCGAAGAUUCCGUUGAGUCAUCGAGUGGUUGACCAGUCUCUCUCUAUAUCAUGACAGUUAGUUUUUGGCUUUCUCUACUGAGGUGCUCAUCCGGAUGAACCAGGGCACAAUCGCAGUAGUUCUCCCAGUGCUACCUUAGCCGAUAUAAUGGAACGUAAGGUACCAAAACGUGGGAGCCGGGCAAACCCAACAUGUGACCAAAGACAUGAUUCAGAGCUGAUGCAUGUAGGGCCAAACUCGCGACGCCGAACACUCCCUAAGGUGUUCGGUCUUUAUAACAUAUACCGGGCUAAAAAAUGCCCUUAAUAAGAAACCCCAUGUGUCCAGGUACGUGCAAAAUCCUGACGUGGCCACAUGCCAAUAACGCCAGCAUCCUUCUCGGUUGUGUGGAGUAUCCGGAGGAUGUGAGCAACAAGAGACAGUAAAAAAGGUUUACACAGGGUCUUAAUCUAAAAAGAAACCUUUGGGCGGGUCCCUGCUACACGUCUGCGCCUAUGUCUCCAUUGUGCCGUGUCCUGGACGGGUGUAGCACGAUUGUCAUCUGUAAAAGGAAAGAACUUAGGUGAGAGUUGCCGUGCCAAAAAGAAGAAUUGGUUAUUAUCAAUGAACUAUCAAGAUUCAAGAGAAGCCUAGUUGAGCCGGGUUGGCCCUGAUUACAUGCGGGAAGCCCCUGGUAUCAUUUAUGAGGGUUUGAUCAUCAAACCAAUCUCAUGUAUAUAUGAUGGAAUGCCGGAUUCGUUUAACCAUGUCCGUGGUCUUGACGACCUGCCAUUUUUUCUGGUUGGUGAGGCCGUCUAGUUUGCGGCUGUUAGAGCCGCCGCAUCCUCUUCCGUACGUAAGAAAUGUUCGGUAUUUCCGCUAACUGAGAUGAUGCCACAUGGACCGGUCAUCUUAAGCUUGAGAAAAGCAUAAUGUGGUAUUGCGUUAAAACGAGCGAAAGCCAUUCUUCCGAGUAGUGCUUGAUAACCACUUCGGAAUGGGGCGAUGUGAAAAGUUAACCUUUCACUUCGGAAGUUAGCGGGAGAACCGAAUACCACCUCUAGUAGUAGAGAUCCCGUACAGCGGGCCUCUUGGCCUGGUAUUACUCCCUUGAAGGUAGUAUUACUAUGGCUUAUUUGUGUCGGGUCUAUCUCCAUUUUGCGGAGUGUGUCCUGAUAUAUCAGAUUUAGAUCACUGCCGCCGUCCAUGAGGACUCGUGUGAAAUGGUACCCAUUUAUUAUUGGGUCUAACACCAAGGCCGUCAUUCCUUCAUGUCGGAUAUUUGUCUCGUGAUCCCUACGAUCAAAAGUGAUCGGGCAGGCUAACCAGGGGUUGAACCUAGGGGUGACGGGCUCUAUGGCGCGUGUGCCUCGGAGUGCAUGCUUGCUUCUCCUCUUUGUCACAUGGAUCACGUUUACUGUUUUAACCUCUGGUGGGAACUUUUUCUGUCCUCCGGCGCUUUGCUGGCGAGGUUCAUCCUCGUCUUCGCUUGGUGUCUCUUCCCCUUUGUGUUCGGCGUUUAGCUUAUUAGCCUCCUUGAAGACCCAACAUUCUCUGUGGGUAUGAUUUGCAGGUUUGUCUGGGCUGCCGUGAAUCUGACAAAGUUUGUCAAGAAUUUUGUUUAGGCCAGAUUGUCCUUCUCUGCUUCCUUUGAAAGGCUUUUUUUGCCGACCUGGUCGGGAGCCCCUGAAUCCGGCGUUUACCGCCGUGUUAUCUGGGCUACCUUCUUUAUUUCGACGCUUGUUUUUGUUGCGUCAUGGUUUACCAUUGCCAUCCCUAACUUUGGAUGUGCUUGGGUCGCUGGUGCUGCUAUGGGCCAACCAGCUGUCCUCGCCCGCACAAAAGCGGGCCAUGAGGCUUGUUAGGGCUGCCAUUGUUCUCGGUUUUUCUUGGCCGAGGUGUCUGGUGAGCCAUUCGUCUCGGACGCUGUGUUUAAAAGCUGCUAAGGCUUCGGUAUCCGGACAGUCGACGAUUUGGUUCUUCUUGGUGAGGAACCUAUUCCAAAGCUUUCGGGCGGACUCUCUGGGCUGUUGGAUUAUAUGACUUAAAUCGUGUGCAUCCGGAGGUCGGACAUAAGUCCCUUGAAAAUUGGCCCGAAAAGCGUCCUCGAGCUCCUCCCAACUUCCAAUUGAGUUUUUAGGGAGGCUUUUCAGCCAGUGCCAAGCUGGCCCUUUAAGCUUGAGGGGCAAGUAUUUAAUGGCAUGGAGAUCGUCUCCACGAGCCAUAUGAAUAUGGAGGAUAAAGUCCUCUAUCCAGGCUCCAGGGUCUGUGGUCCCGUCGUACGCCACUAUGUUCACCGUUUUGAAUCCCUCUGGGAAUUCGUGAUCCAGCACCUCAUGAGUGAAACAUAAGGGGUGUGCGGCACCCCUGUAUUGGGAUGUGCCAUGGUGUUCGGACGGUUGUAGUAUUCGGUGUUGGCUUUGUACCAUAGCACGCUUCCUAGAUCCAUAGAUGGAUCUGGUCACAUCGGAUUUUUGACGCAAGUUCUCACAUAGAUCGUGUGUUGACUUAUGCAUGACUUUGUUAGCCGCUCUAUCACGUUCACAUGGUGGUGGAUCCGACCAGUUGGCCGUAUCAUUCUUUGGCUGUAUGGGCUCUAAGGCCUCAUCGUCGAAUUCCGGUAAUAGCUUGCGCUUUGGAUAGCUAUUUUUAUGGUAACUUUCACCAUACUUUGUUACUUUGUUCACCUGCUGUUGAGCGUAUCUUGUGCGACCUUGAGCCUUUGCUUCUGUUUCUUCAGGCUCCUCGAUGUGGCAAUAAGCCUUCUGUGGAGGUUCUCUUGCUCCAAGUGCAUUUCCGGGAUGAUGUGUGCAUCUUCAUCCGGACUGUUUUCUUCCCCAGACGGGGUUUGAUGAGGCUUAUCCUUGGCAUCGUCGUGUUCGGACGUUGGAUCCGUACUAUGUUUGCAGUUUGCAUCUUGAUUGUGCUCUGCAAUCGGGGUGGUGUAGUCGUCGUUUCUUCUAGAGUCGACUGGACUGUUAUUUCCUCUUGCGCUGUUAUCGCUGUUUUUGCUAUGGCGGGAGUUAGAGCGGUGCCGCUGACGUCGGUGCUUGGGUCGCUUGGAGGGGGCAUCCUCCGCUGUCUCUUGGCCAUUGCCCUCUCUGGGUGUAUCCAGCAUGUAUAUGCCAUGUGAUGAAGUGGCGAUCCAGCGGCCUAUGGGCAAUGGUUCCUGUUCGUCUCUUGCAUCGUCGUCCAUACCGUUGAUGUCUUUGGAGUCGAAGUCGAGCAUGUUGGUUAAGCCGUCGACAGUGGCUACUAAGUGGGUGGUGGGUGGGCAGCGAAUUUCUUCGUCGUCCGCAUCCCAUUCUAGCCGGACAUACUUCGGCCAAGGUUCUCCUGACAGGCAGAGAGACCUUAAUUAAUUUAGCACAUCUCCGAAAGGUGAGUGCUGAAAGAUAUCCGUGGAGGUGAACUCCAUGAUCAGCGCCCCGUCGGAUUCGACGGGCAUAGAUGUAGGCAGCUCGGAGUCCGUGGCCGGAGGUAAAUCCAGUGGUUCGGCCACGCGGCUCUCGAAAGGGGUGAAGUCAGUAUCUGGCUCUAUCGCCACUGAGAGUGCGGCCUCCAUGGCGGGGUUUAUCCCUCCGCUCUUGGAUGGCGCGAUUUGCUCCGGAUUAACGUCCGGAGUAGUUGCGGAAGUGAUCUCCCGAACACUAUCCGACGGCAGAGUUACAUCAUGCUCGUCGCGACUGCGCGGCGCGUCUGACAUGGGCUCGAAUCCGUCGAAGAUCAAGUCUCCGCGGAUGUCGGACGUGUAGUUCAAGUUUCCAAAUCUGACCUGAUGGCCAGGGGCGUAGCACUCGAUCUGCUCCAGAUGGCCAAGCGAAUUGGCCCGCAGUGCGAAGCCGCCGAAUACGAAGAUCUGUUCGGGGAGGAAAACCUCGCCCUGGACCACAUCGCUAGUGAUGAUCGAAGGAGCCAUCAAGCCUUAUGGUGACGACACAGUGGAACUCUCAAUGAAAGCACCAAUGUCGGUGUCAAAACAGGCGAAUCUCGGGUAGGGGGUCCCGAACUGUGCGUCUAAGGCGGAUGGUAACAGGAGGCAGGGGACACGAUGUUUACCCAGGUUCGGGCCCUCUUGAUGGAGGUAAUACCCUACGUCCUGCUUGAUUGUUCUUGAUGAUAUGAGUAUUACAAGAGUUGACCUACCACGAGAUCAAAGAGGCUAAACCCUAGAAGCUAGCCUAUGGUAUGAUUGUAUGUUGUCCUACGGACUAAACCCUCCGAUUUAUAGACAUCGGAGGGGGCUAGGUUUACACAAGGUCGGUUACAAAGGAGGAGAUAUACAUAUCCGCAUUUCCUAGCUUGCCUUCCACCCCAAGUAGAGUCCCAUCCUGACACGGGACGAAGUCUUCAAUCUCGUAUCUUCAUAGUCCAACAGUCCGGCCAAAGGAUAUUGUCCGGCUGUCCGGAGACCCCCUAAUCCAGGACUCCCUCACUCGAAGUGCUUCUUCGGGAUGCCUUCAGUCGCCUACCUCGAACACGUCAUCUUGUCCAAGGGGGUGGCCAUGGAUGCCGACGAGGUGGCGGUCGUCCUCGCCCGGCCGACCCCGCAUUCACCAUGGGCCCUUUGCGGUUUUCUGGGCCUCGCGGGGUACAACCAGAAAUUUAUCCGGGAAUUCGGCCUCAUUACAUCACCACUCACACGCCUGCUACGUCGCGACGCCUUUGUCUGGGAUGAGGAGGCGACUGUGGCAUUCGAGGCCCUCAAGGGGGCCCUCACGACAGGCCCCGUCCCUGGACUUCGACCAGCUGUUCGUCGUGGACUGCGACACCUCCCGUGCGGGGUUCAGCGCCGUUCUUCAUUAGGGCGAUGGACCCCUCGCCUUCUUCAGCAGACCCUUUGUCGCGCGCCAUCUUAAGCUCGUGGCUUAUGAGCGAGAGCUGAUUGGCUUGGUGCAUGCGGUGCGCCAUUGGCGGCCCUAUCUGUGAGGUCGGUCUUUUCGGAUUCGCAUGGACCACUACAGCCUCAAGUUCUUGUUGGACCAGAGGCUCUUGACUAUGCCACAACACCAGUGGAUCAGUAAGCUCUUCGGCUUUGACUUCACCGUCGAGUAUCGACUGGGCCGCCUUAACUCCGUGGCUAACGCCCUGUCUCGCUGCAAUGCCGACCACGACACUGUCGUAGGUGACUCCAAGGGGGCGGCGCUCUGCAUCCGCUCAAGGCCCACUUUCUCCCUCUUCACCGACAUCCGCCGGGCGACAACGGCCGCGGCGGACACGCUCCUCCUUCAACAGCAGCUGGCUACGGGUGAGCUGGAGGAGAUGUGGCGCCUCGCCGAUGGGUUGCUCCUGCAUGGGAGACGGGUCUUCGUGCUGGCGCACGACGAUCUCCAUCACCAGGUGCUGCUGCUGGCCCACUUGACGGGCGAUGAGGGUGUGCGGAAAACCCUCCAUCGUCUCUGCGCCGACUUCUACAUUCCAGGUGAUCGGGCCCUGGUCCCCGACUGGGGGCGGUCUUGUGUGACGUGCCAGCAUAACAAGAUGGAGACACUACGACCGGCUGGUCUACUCCAGCCCUUGGAGGUGCCUUCUAAGGUCUGGGCGGAUAUCUCCAUGGACUUCAUCGAGGGCCUCCCCAAGGUGGGCGACAAAUCGGUCAUUCUCACGAUGGUCGACCACUUCUCCAAGUAUGCUCACUUCAUCGCGCUCGGCCAUCCCUAUACUGAUGCAUCCAUGGCCCGUGCCUUCUUCGACGGUAUCAUCCGCCUCCACGGGUUUCCCUCUUCGAUCGUCAGCGAUCGGGACCCGGUAUUCACCGGACAUGUCUGGCGUGAUCUCUUUCGGUUGGAGGGCGUGAAGCUCCGCCUGAGCACGGCCUUCCAUCCCCAGACGGACGGCCAAUCCGAGGUUGUCAACCAGGUGAUUACAAUGUAUUUGUGUUGUGUCACAGGUGAUCAUCCUGGCACUUGGGUGGAUUGGUUCUCGUGGGCGGAGUACUGCUACAACACCACCUAUCACUCCGCCCUACACGCCUCUCCAUUUGAGGUGGUCUACGGCCGACCUCCCCCGCCCAUACUGCCGGUUGAUCUGGCGACGACUCGGAUGAAGGCGGCCGGUGAUCUUAUGCGGCGCCGUGAUGAGAUGUUGGCAGAGGUCCGACAACGCCUCCUUCAGGCCCAGCAGCUAGCCAAGCAAUACUACGACGACCACCAUCACGAGGCGGAAUUUGCGGUGGGUGAUUGGGUGUGGCUGCAUCUCCUUCACUGCUCUACGCAGUCACUGGACCCACACGCGAAGCGCAAGCUGGGUCCUCGCUAUGCCGAGCCCUUUGCUGUCUUGGGGCGCAUCGGGGAGGUGGCCUACCGUCUUCAGCUUCCGGCCGGUGCCCACAUCCACGACGUCUUCCAUGUGGGGCUGUUGAAGCCCUUUCGUGGGGAGCCACCUGCGGCCCCUCCAGCGCUUCCUCCGACCUCCUAUGGGCGCCUCCUUCCGAGGCCGGAGAAGGUGUUGCAGGCCCAGCUACGUCGAGGGGUGUGGUACGUGUUGAUUCAGUGGGCUGGACUUCCGGAGGAGGACGCUACUUGGGAGCAGCGUGACGAGUUCCGCCAACACUACCCAGACUUCCAGCUUGAGGACGAGCUAUUUGUGCGGGCGGGGAGAGAUGUUAUGACCAGGCAGACUUAUGCCUGUAGGAGGCCCAUGGAGCAGGUUUAGUUAGGGGCUUAGCCCACAAGUUACCUUAUUUUUUAUUUCCAUCGUGGUUAUAUAUACAAGUCGUAAGACUCUUUUGAGAAUUAAGCAAUAAGAGAAAUCCUAUUGCUCGGCUCCCAGAGGAGCGGGAACCCUAAACCCUAAUCGCACCUUGCACCGCCGCCUCGCCUCUAGCGCGCCACGACGCCCCGCCGCCGGCAACUGUCGGUGUCAAAACCAGCGGAUCGAGCAGGGGGUCGCAAACUGUGUGUCUAAGGUUGAUGGUAACACGAGACAGGGGACACAAUGUUUACCCAGGUUCUGACCCUCUCUAUGGAGGUAAUACCCUACUUCCUGCUUCAUUGAUCUUGAUGAAUAUGAGUAUUACAAUAGUUGAUCUACCUCGAGAUCGUAAUGGCUAAAACCCUAAAAGUCUAGCCUAUGUGAUUAUGAUUGUCCCUAUGAACUAAACCCUCCAGUUUAUAUAGUCACUGAAGGGGACUAGGGUUGUACAAAGUUAGUUACAGAGAAAGGAAUCUUCAUAUCCAAACGCCAAGCUUGCCAUCCAUGCCAAGGAUAGUCCCAUCCGGACACGGGUAAGAGUCUUCGAUCUUGUAUCUUCGUAGCCCAUCAGUACGGCCCAUGUCCAAUAGGCCGGACGCCCGAGGACCCCUUAGUCCAGGACUCCCUCAGUAGCCCCUGAACUAGGCUUCAAUGACGAGGUGUCCGGUGUGCAGAUUGUCUUCAGCAUUGCAAGGAGGGUUCCUCCUCCGAAAAUUCCGAACAGUCUUCGAACACAAAGAUCGUGUCUGGAUCCGCAAAACAAGUACCACACACCACCGUAGAGAGUUUAAUAUUUCACGAGUCCAAUCUGCUGACAACUUUUUGUAACAUGAUAUCAUGUCCCUGCCCGGUUAUUAUUUCAAACCAUUUCGGCCUGCUGCUCCAUAUUUUGAGAUGCGGCUUUAUUGGCACGUCUUGUCAAAGAAGAGAUCAAGUCCCCCUAUUGCGGGAUUUUCAUCAAUACAGGAUAGGUAAUCCAACCGUGCCAUCAGCACGACCCAUGGGGAAUAGGCGAGUUUUAUGGCGAGUGGGGAGGCGCUUGACAUUCACUGCCUUUAUAAGGAGAUAAGGAUUCACAUCUUUCACCCAUGCCUUCUCUCCACCUACCCACUCUCAAGCUCCAGUGACCAAGUUCUCAUCCUUUCCGCCUCAAGAAAGCACUCCAACCAUGUCCGGAGCGCAGGGCAAGUGGAUGGCCUCCACCGUCAAGGAGAAGGAUAUCGUCCAACUUAGGGAGGCCGGAUAUUUGGCCAAGGAAAUCGCCCAUCGGCUUCUUGCUAAGGGAUAGAUUGUCCCCACUCCGGAGCCCCAUGAGAGGGCCGCGUUCAUCCCUCACUUUGUCCGCGGGCUAGGAUUUCCUCUCCACCCAUUCAUCCGCGGACUCAUGUUCUACUACGGGCUGGAUUUCCAUGAUCUGGCCCCCAAUUCCUUCCUCACCAUCUCGGCGUUCAUCGUCAUGUGUGAGGCCUUCCUCCACAUCCCCCCACUUCGGACUAUGGAUAAAUACCUUCAAUGUGAAGCCGAAGGUGGUGGGCGGCGAACACGCAGAAUGUGGAGGCGCCGUGGUGAGCAAAAUGUCCAACGUCCCGUGGCCCAAAGGCACCUUCGUGGAGACCGUCAAGGGGUGGCAGAAGUUGUGGUUCUACGUCAAAGAGCCCCACGAUCCUGCCUGGGCCACGGCUCCCGAAUGCAAAUCCGGGGCACUGAUGUGGCUUACCUCCUGUUAGGAGAAGGGCCUGGAUUGGUCUUCGUUGGACGAGCUGACAUCGCUUCAAACGCGCAUCAGGAGCAUGAUGGACAAGAACGUCAAGCUUGUUGAUGUGAUUCAGGUGAUGCUAAUUCGCCUGAUCCUUCCAUGCUAGAACCGGGCUUGCCAUCUAUGGGAGUUCAAUCCGGCCAAGCACAAGACCUUGUGACAAUUCUUCGGAACUACGCACGAAGAUAUCUGGAAGGUGCUCUUCAAGGCCAAUGAGAUGUGGCCGGAGACAAUCGAGGACUGCAGGCACGAUCUAGCCCAUCCCACCAGUUCGGUAAGUUUUCCGUGCUUCAAGGCGUAUCCCUUUCUUGCAUGCUCAAGGAGGAUGUCCCAACUUCCCUAUUUUCCUUUUCAAGGUUGGACAAAGAAGGCGGAGCAGAUUCGGUGUUUGGCUUCGCUGCCCGAGGAACCAGCCAUCCCGCUUUUGACAAAGAUGCUGGUUCCGGCGCCCUACGUGGCGCCAGAGAAGAAGGCCAAGAAGAAGGCCAAGGGGACCAGAGGAGGCCUCCAUCCCAAGGGUACUUCAGACAUGGCGUCCGAAGACGCCGAAACUCACUCUGUCGCCGAAGACGACGAGGAGGAGGGAGAGGAGGAAGAAAGCAACUCCCCCUUCCCCGAGGGGGGAAAGGAGAGAGCGGCCUCCACAGAUCUAGAAGCAGAGGCGUCCAAGAAGGGAAAGGCUUCCCUCAUGGAUAACUCCGUGUGGGACGUCGAUAGCAGCCUAGAACGGCGCCCUCGAAAUAAGCCCCUGGCCGAAUCGUGAGUAUCCGAAGACCCUAUCGCAUUCAUAUAUCCUCCUAUUUUACUUCAUAAUUUUAACAUGUUGAACCAUGUACUUGCAGUCCGGCUCGUUCCGCCCUUGAGCGAUCCUCGUCUUCGGGGAACACACUGGACCCGAAGGUGAUGGACAGCGGGUCCCUUCCAAUGGCCUCCUCUCCCAGGGCCAUGGAUGACACCGAGGUGUUGUCCCGAAGGAUCCCCGACCAGGGAGAGAUGCAGGAGGCCGUCAGGAUGGCGCUAGAGGGCGAGACCUCGGCCGCCGGACACAUGGGGGAGCAGAUCCCCAUGGAGACUGGCGAUGGGGGCCACGUCCAAUUUGGCCCCCAGCCGAAUACGGUCCCGGAGACCUAUACAGUUCCGGAAUCUGGCAAGCAGCCUCCUUCAUCGGAAGGAGGUGUGCCCACUCCACCGGUGACCUCUGUACAUCUAGAGGCGCCGGAUACUCUAUAGAAGUGCUGCAAAGUGCUUCCAUCAUCGAGGAACACCAUACCCUCAUGGGUGCGGUGAUUGAGAAGAUUCAGUCUGCGAAGAGUGGACUGACCGAAGCCUGCUCAAGCCUUCUAAUAGGCUUUGAGGUAAGAUCUACAUUUAUGUAAAAAGAGAGUUACAAUAUAGACAGUAGCCCCUGAGACUCUGUUCGGGGUUCAGAAAGAAAAGCCGAACAGAGGAUCAAGUAGUUUUUCGCAGGAGACUAACCAUGUGUGUCUAUGUGAAUAAGCAGGCGUCGCUGCUAGCCAUGACUUCUCAUGCUGCCGAAGUCUCUGGAUUGAAGCGGAGGCUGGAACGGACCAAGGAAGAGCUCGGCCGUACGAAAAAGCAGCUGGAGGAUACCCAAGGUAUGCAAUGAUCUUGUGUAUGUCCGGAAGGGAUGAAUGAUGUGAGCUAAUCAUAGUGCCAUGACAUUUAUUAGGGGAGGCGGCCAAGGUGGAGGCCCUCGAGAAGGCGCUGGUAGAGGCCAAGGAGAGAGCGGCAAAGGAACAAGCCGCUCAUGAAAAACACGAGGCCAGGGUUAGCAAGGUCCAGCAGGAUCUCCAGGAUGUCGUGCAAAAAUGCGAGUCCUUGGAGCGCCAGAAUGCGGACCAAGAGUCCGAACUUUCUAAGGCCCACCAAAGCGCGCAAGAGGCCCGAACCGAAGCCCAAGGCGCCCUCCCAGAAAUCCAAGAGGCCACGAAAAUCAUGGCGGGUAAGGCUUUCAUUAUGCAAAGCAAGUAUGUGAUGAAGAAGUAUCUCUUACUGACCCGGAUUUGGAGUUCUCCAGGGGCGUUUGUGGAUCUGCCGCGUAGUGUUUAUGAUGCUGCGGAGUUCUUCCGAACCGAAGAGGGGAGCUCAAUGGAGAAGCUGUUCUGGUCACAAUACCUUGUGCCAGAACAUCUGGUGCCAUUUAGCGACCAGCUAAAACAGCUGGUCGAGUUGCACAGGGUGGCCGAACUAGCCAUGAAGGAUUUAAUAAUCCGGCUAUGGCCUGCGGAAGCCCUACCCGGCAGCUACUUUGGACUCGUGAAGCGGCUGGUCAAUGCCUGCCCUCGGCUUGACGCCAUCAAGUGGUCGGUCUGCAUAGAAGGUGCGCGGAUGGCCUUCGCCUGUGUCAAGAUACAGUGGGCGAAGAUGUACGCCGUCAAGCUCGCGACCGAAGGACCGCCCGAGGGCAAGGAGCACCGCACGCCCGAGCAGUAUUUUCCGGAUGUUCUGAAGGGAUCCCGCAUUGUGGUGGAACAAUGUACUAAGGACAUUAUGUUUGAAUGAAUACAUUCAUGUUAUUCCGUCCCGUAUGAUGAAAACAAGGCUUGAUAUGUAAUAUAAUGCUUUGUUGUUUGUUUAUUUAAAGUUUUACCUCUUGUGCGGCCAUUUCAUCAAGUCUGAGAGUUGGCCAGUCAUCGGCUUCAGCCCCCACGUAGGUAGUAUGGGGGUGUUCGGGAUGAAUCUAAAUACUCCUUAUCCAAGAGUUUGGUCCUUAAAGGAGGUGUUUAGCGCAACGAACCAGGCAAUCAGACUAUGUGGCUUUAUUACCCUCACUUAGCCAUAGGAGUUUGACAAUGAAAAUGUAGGCGCAACCCCUAGUAUCCAGACUAGGGUGCUGUAAACACCUGAUCGGAUAAGAACCAAUUCGUCGCAUAAUGCAAGAAAAAUCGCUAAAGAUUUGAAACCCCCAAAGAGCUGGCCAGCUCACGCCGCAUUAUGACAGUCAAUUUUCGGCUUGUCUACUGAGGUGCUCAUCCGGAUAAACCAGGCCACAAUCGUAGUAGUUCUCCCUUUACUACCCUAGCCGAUAUAGCGGGACGUAAGGUAGUAAGCACAGGAGCCGGGCAACCCAACUAUUGACCAAAGACAUGAUUCGGAGCCAAUGCAUAUAAUGCUAAAUUCGGGGUGCUGAACUAUACUGUAAAAGUGUUCAUACUUGUUGCCAUAGUGUGGGGCGUAAUAAAGCCCCUGGCGAAUUACAGCAUACCAAGGUGUACAGAUGCAAAUUAAAAUAGCGAAAAUAAAAAAUAAAGAAGAAGCUAGUGCCACAUAUGUUGGGCCGCAAACUGUUUCCAUUAUAAUUUUGAUUAAUACGUCAAAGCGUACUUGAACAAAAAAUGCGAUAAGCAACAGUGGCUAUUUAACAUGCCAAUACCAAGGGGGAGCUGCGUACGGGUCCUGAAAACAGGUAGAAUGAUCGCCAAGAAGGACAUCUAGAGAUUCCCCCGUACGUAUGUGCUACUUGUCACCUUGGUGUAGCCGUCCUUCGAAAAGACCAAUUUAUCAGGCCGUCGAGAGGGGCCUGUGAAAAGAAACCAAAAAAGGGAAAGUAAGCAUAUGUGUGUCCCGGGAAGGUCGAGCCGUAUUGUGGAUCACAAUAUGGUUAUGCCUCCGUCUCUGCCCAUGGUAUUUUUAGUGCGUAGUUAUGUACGCGGGGUACAUAUGCCGCCACUUGGUCGGGACUGAGAUGGAGGUCGAAUUGCUAAUCGAGCCCCCGACGAGCUGGACUGUCCUGCCGCAGAGUAGUCCGGACUCAUUUGACACUGUCCGGGAGCAUGGCCGCCGAAUUAAGGUUCUGCUUGAGAAGGCCGCUCUGUACCUCUGCGGCCAGGGCAGCGGUGUGCUCCUCGGUACGGAGGGAGCACUCCGUGUUUCCAUUGAUUGUUAUGACACCGCCUGGUCCGGGCAUCUUGAGCUUGAGAUAAGCAUAGUGCGGCACCGCAUUGAAUCAGGCAAACACAGUUCGUCCGAGCAGUGCGUGAUAGCCGCUGCGGAAGGGGACGAUGUCGAAGAUUAACUCUUCGCUUCGGAAGUUGUCGUGAGAUCCGAAGACGACCUCCAAUGUGAUUGAGCCCGAGCAGCGGGCCUCUACACCUGGUAUAACUCCUUUAAAGGUAGUUUUGGUGAGCUUGAUCCUUGAUGGAUCGAUGCCCAUUUUGCACACUGUAUCCUGAUAGAGAAGGUUUAGGAUGCUGCCACCGUCCAUGAGGACUCAUGUGAGGUGGAAUCCAUCAAUUAUUGGGUCGAGGAACAGUGCCGCGGAACCGCCAUGACGGAUACUGGUCAGAUGGUCCCUGCGAUCAAAGGUGAUCGGGCAUGAUGACCAUGGUUUGAAUUUUGGGGCGAUUGGCUCUGUCGCGUAGACGUCCCUGAGCACAUGCUUGCGCUCCCCUUGGGGAUAUGGGUAGCGUAUAUCAUGUUCACCAUUUUGACUUGAGGGGGAAACUUCUUUUGUCCCCCUGUGUUCGGUGGACGGGGCUCCUCAUAGUCAUUCUCGCUUUGCGACCCCUUCUCCUUGUCUUCGGCAUUUAACUUGCCGACCUGUUUGAAUACCCAACAACUCUGAUGAGUAUGAUUGGCUGGAUUAUCAGGGGUGCCAUGGAUUUGACAUGGACGAUCGAGUAUGCGGUCCAGGCUGGAAGGGCCUUGAUUAUUCCUUUUAUAUGGCUUCUUCCGCUGUGCAGACUUGGAGCCACUGAAUCUGGCGUUGGCCACCGUGUCCUUGGUAUUAUCACUGUUGCUUUGACGCAUGUGCCUCUUGCGUCGGGGCUUGCCGUUGCUAUUUCUGGUGUCCGAAGUGCCAGGUUCGCUUGCAUUGUUAUUGCUAUAGGCUAGCCAGCUAUCUUCGCCCGCGCAAAAGCGGGUCAUAAGCGCCGUGAGGGCUGCCAUGGACUUCGGCUUUUCUUGGCCGAGGUGUCGAGUGAGCCAUUUGUCCCGUAUGCUCUAUUUAAAGGCCGCUAGGGCUUCGGCAUCCAGACAGUCGACGAUCUGGUUCUUUUUAGUUAGGAACCUAGUCCAGAAUUUCCUGGCUGACUCUCCGGGCUGUUGAAUUAUGUGACUUAAGUUGUCGGCAUCCGGAGGUCGAACAUAUGUACCUUGGAAGUUGUCAAGGAAGGCUUCUUUCAAGUCCUCCCAGCUGCCAAUGGAAUUUUCGGGCAAGCUGUUCAGCCAGUGCCAGGCUGGCCCCUUGAGUUUUAGGAGUCAUAGUCGAGCAUGUCGGUUAGAUUUUCGACAUUGUCUAUUAAGUGGGAGGUGGGUGGGAAGCGAAAUUCCCCGUCAUCAGCCCCCAGCUCAAACCGGAUAUAAUUCGGCAGUGAGUCCCUUGCUAAAGAGAGGGUUUUUAAUGAGUUUAGCACAUCGCCUAAAGGGGAGAGCCGGAAGAUGUCCGCGGAACUGAAUUCGACGACCGGUGCCUGGUAAGGCUCGUCGGACGUGGAUGCAAGAAGUUCGGAACCAGUGACUGGAGAUGAGUCCGGGGGUCCGAUGAUGCAUGCCUCGCCCGAAGUUGGGUCUGUGUACGGCUCCAACGCUGCUGAGUCUGCGGCUUCCAUGGCGGGGUUAAGCUUCCCAUCUUCGGAUGGCGCAAGCUGCUCCGAAUCCAGGGCCGGAGCGCUUACAGGCGCAAUCUCCUCUACAUGGUCCGAUGACAGAUUUAGGUCAUGUUCAUCAUGGUGGCAUGGAGCGGCUGCCAUGGGCUCAAAUCCGUCGAAGAUCAAGUCUCCGCGGAUAUCAGCGAUGUAGUUCAAGCUUCCAAACCUGACCUGACGGCCAGGGGCGUAGCUGUCGAUCUGCUCUAGAUAGCCAAGCGAGUUGGCCCGCAGUGUGAAGCCGCCGAAAACGAAUAUUUGGCCAGGGAGAAAGACAUCCCAAUGGCAGCGUUGUUGUAGAUGAUGGGUGGGGCCAUCGAACCUUCUGACGACGGCACAACAGAACUCUCAAUGAAAGCACCAAUGUCAGUGUCAAAACGGGCGGAUCUCGGGUAGGGGGUCCCGAACUGUGCGUCUAAGGUUGAUGGUAACAGGAGACAUGGGACACGAUGUUUACCCAGGUUCGGGCCCUCUCUAUGGAGGUAAUACCCUACUUCCUGCUUGAUUGAUCUUGAUGAAUAUGAGUAUUACAAGAGUUGAUCUACCUCGAGAUCGUAAUGGCUAAAACCCUAAAAGUCUAGCCUAUAUGAUUAUGAUUGUCCCUAUGAACUAAACCCUCCGGUUUAUAUAGACACCGGAGGGGACUAGGGUUGUAGAAAGUCAGUUACAGAGAAAGGAAUCUUCAUAUCCGAACGCCAAGCUUGCCAUCCACACCAAGGAGAGUCUUCGGUCUUGUAUCUUCGUAGCCCAUCAGUUUGGUCCAUGUCCAACAGGCCGGACGCUCGAGGACCCCUUAGUCCAGGACUCCCUCAGCAGCCGCGCUCAAGCCUCCACCAACCCUCCUCUUUCCCAUAUAACCUACGUCCUAGACCGGGUAGGGUCCUAGCUCCUGCCAAUUUGGUAUCAGAGCGCUUGGGUCCGAUCAUGUCUGCACCACCACCCACCCCACCGCUACCCACCUCGCCGCUGCCCAUCACCACCGCAUUGCCAAUUCUCUCCAUCGUGUCGCUCGCCCUCUCAACCGCGCCGCUGUAUCUCCCCACCGUGCCGAUCGAUACCACCACGGGCGCCGCCGUCGGCGAGACACCGCCCUCCACUGCGCCGCCCGCUGCAGUCUACUCCCCGACAGAGAUCACUGGGGUCCUCUAUGAUCUCGUCACCGCCGUCCAGGGGUAUGGCUAUACCUGGCCAGCCCCUACGGGUCGCCGCUACCCUUGCCGCCGGCGGCCGCGACCGGGCCGGCCGCCCUGCCAUGGUACUCGGCACUCGUGGUGCUUGCAGGGCCCCUCCACCACCACUGGCCGCUGCAGCCACCGCUCGCCGCUGCACCACAAUGGCCGCAGUGGCCGGCGCCGGCUGGCGCCGCGCCACCCACGCCGCCAUUGUCGGCCCCGCCACCACCCAGCACUGGGCCCGGGUCAACCAUGGAGGGAGGCGUGCCAAUCCAGCAAGUCCGCUUCCCGCCAUCGCUGUCCCCAAUUCUGGCCUGGCUGACCGGAUCAUCACUGUCGUCCGUCUACACGUCGGCUGUGGACCCGCCGGUGCCCACUCUGUAGUACAGCGACCCAUCCAGCUCCGUGGGUCACUACGUGGGCCGCGCCAGCACUGACCGGGCAUCCCCAGCCUCGCUUCUCCACACCUCCGAGCUAGUUGUCCACAUCGCUCCAACCCAGAGGCCGCCACGGUUCGCCAAAAUUGAUUUCGCCACUUAUGACGGCACGGAGGACCCCCUCAACUGGCUCAACCAAUGCGAGUAGUUCUUUCGCGGGCAGCGCACCCUAGCAUCGGAGCACACCUGGCUCGCCUCUUACCACCUCCGCGGCACGACACAACCAUGGUAUUACACCCUCGAGUAGGACGAGGGCAAUAUGACUCCUUGGGAGCGCUUUCACGAGCUCUGCCUCCUUUGCUUUGGGCCACCGUUCUGCGGGAGCCGCCUGGUAGAGCAAGGCCACCUUCCCUUCACCUCCACGGUGCAGGACUUCACCGACUGGUUCCAGGCCCUGGCAUGCCAUGCGUCGGGCAUGACGGCGCAUCAGCAGACCGACCUCUUCGUUGGUGGACUUCCAGAUCACAUCCACGUUGACGUGGAGCUUCGGGGACCCUAGGAUCUCCAGACGGCCAUGUAUUACGCGUGCGCCUUCGAGUGUCGCGCCCAGGCCAUGCAGCAUGUGGCCCCUGCUCGAGGAGGCUGACAGGCCGCCAGGUAGCCCCCUGCAUGGGGCCGGCCACCCCCGGCCGCUCCGGCGACUACAACCCCAGCCGCGACGCGGCCCUUCCGUCGUCUCUACCAGUUUGAGCAGCUAGAGUAUCGGCGCUGAUGAUCCACAAGUGUAGGGGACCUAUCGUAGUCCUUUUGAUAAGUAAGAGUGUCGAACCCAACGAGGAGCAGAAGGAAAUGAUAAGCAGUUUUCAGUAAGGUAUUCUCUGCAAGCACUGAAAUUAUCGGUAACAGAUAUUUUUGUGAUAAGGUAAUUUGUAAUACGUAACAAAUAGUAAAAGUAAAUAAGGUGCAGCAAGACAGCCCAAUCUUUUUUGGCAAAGGACAAGCCUGGACAAACUCUUAUAUAAAGGAAAACGCUCCUGAGGACACAUGGGAAUUAUCGUCAAGCUAGUUUUCAUCAUGUUCAUAUGAUUCGCGUUCGGUACUUUGAUAAUUUGAUAUGUGGGUGGACCAGUGCUUGGGUACUGUACUUCCUUGGAUAAUCAUCCCACAUAUGAUUAACCCCUAUUGCAAGCAUCCGCAACUACAACAAAAGUAUUAAGGUAAACCUAACCAUAGCAUGAAACAUAUGGAUCCAAAUCAGCCCCUUACGAAGCAACGCAUAAACUAGGGUUUAAGAUUCUGUCACUCUAGCAACCCAUCAUCUACUUAUUACUUCCCAAUGCCUUCCUCUAGGCCCAAACAAUCAUGAAGUGUCAUGUAGUCGACGUUCACAUGACUCCACUAGAAGAGAGACAACAUACAUCUCAUCAAAAUAUCGAACGAAUACCAAAUUCACAUGACUACUUAUAGCAAGACUUCUCCAUUGUCCUUAGGAACAAACUUAACUACUCACAAAGCAUAUUCACGUUCAUAAUCAGAGGGGUAUUAAUAUGCAUAAUGGAUCUGAACAUAUGAUCUUCCACCAAGUAAACCAACUAGCAUCAACUACAAGGAGUAAUCAACACUACUAGCAACCCACAGGUACCAAUCAGAGGCUUUGGGACAAAGAUUGGAUACAAGAGAUGAACUAGGGUUUGAGAUGAGAUGGUGCUGGGGAAGAUGUUAAUGGAGAUUGACCCCCUCCCGAUGAGAGGAUUGUUGGUGAUGACGAGUGUGAUGAUUUCCCCCUCCCGGAGGGAAGUUUCCCUGGCAGAAUAGCUCCGUCGGAGCCCUAGAUUGGUUCCGCCUUAUGGCGGCGGAGUUUCGUCCCAUGAGCUUGCUUAUGAUUUUUUCUCAACGGAAGACUCCAUAUAGCCAAAGAUGGGCAUCAGAGGGCCACCAGGGGGCCCACGAGGCAGGGGGCGUGCCCAGGGGGGUAGGGCACGCCCCCACCCUCGUGGACAGUGGGUGGCCCCCCUCUGGUAGUUCUUUCGCCCAAUAUUUUUUAAUAUAUUCCGAAACAUGCUCCUGUGAAGUUUCAGGACUUUUGGAGUUGUGCGUAAUAGGUAUCUAAUAUUUGCUCCUUUUCCAUCCCAGAAUUCCAGCUGCCGGCAUUCUCCCUCUUCAUGUAAAUCUUGUAAAAUAAGAGAGAAUAUGCAUAAGUAUUGUGACAUAAUGUGUAAUAACAGCCCAUAAUGCAAUAAAUAUCAAUAUAAAAGCAUGAUGCAAAAUGGACGUAUCAACUUCCCCAAGCUUAGACCUCGCUUGUCCUCAAGCGAGAGCCGAAAUCGAAAAAUAUGUCCACAUGUUUAGAGAUAGAGGUGUCCAUAAAAAUAAAAUACGGACAUGAGGGCAUCAUGAUCAUUCGUAGAACAACAACAUAUAUAUAUAUAUAUAUAUAUAUAUAUAUAUAUAUAUAUUAUCAUAUGAUCUCUUAUGCUAAAGUAAUGAUUCAAUCACAAAUUCAAGUAUGAAUCAUAAACUUCAUUGAGAACCAACAAACUCUAAUCUCAGUCAUUGAGGCAAUUGUGAUUUAUCAUAACAUCAGAAAGAGUCAAUAAGAGCUUUUAUACAAGUCCACAUACUCAACCAUCAUUUAGUCUUUCACAAUUGCUAACACUCAUGUGAUAUUUAUGGUUAUGAAGUUUUAAUCGGACACAGAGAAAGAUAGGGGCUUAUAGUUUUGCCUCCCAACCUUUUACCUCAAGGGUAAUGUCGGUGUCAAAACCGGCAGAUCUCGGGUAAGGGGUCCCGAACUGUGCGUCUAGGCCGGAUGGUAACAGGAGGCAGGGGACACGAUGUUUUACCCAGGUUCGGGCCCUCUUGAUGGAUGUAAAACCCUACCUCCUGCUUGAUUAAUAUUGAUGAUAUGGGUAGUACAAGAGUAGAUCUACCACGAGAUCAGAGAGGCUAAACCCUAGAAGCUAGCCUAUGGUAUGAUUGUAUGUUGUCCUACUGACUAAAAUCCUUCGGUUUAUAUAGACACUGGAGAGGGUUAGGGUUACACAAGGUCGGUUACAAAGGAGGAGAUAUCCAUAUACGUAUUGCCUAGCUUGCCUUCCACGCCAAGUAGAGUCCCAUCCGGACACGAGACGAAGUCUUCAAUCUUGUAUCUUCAUAGUCUAACAGUCCGGCCAAUGGAGAUAGUCCGGCUAUCCAGAGACCCCCUAAUCCAGGACUCCCUCAGUAGCCCCUGAACCAGGCUUUAAUGACGAUGAGUCCGGCACGCAGUAUUGUCUUCGGCAUUGCAAUGCGGGUUCUUCUCCGAAUACAUCACAGAAGAAUUUGAAUACGAGGAUAGUGUCCGACCCUGCAAAAUAAGUUCCACAUUCCACCGUAGAGAGAAUAAUAUUUUCGCAGAUCCAAUUUGCUGGCUUGUUUUAGCAGCAUGACAUUAUGUCAUGGCCCGGUGAUUAUUCGAACCGUUUCUUUUAACCAGCCUCACACAUAAUGCGAGGCAGUUUUUCGACACGUCUUGUCAAAGCAGAGAUCGUGUCCCCUUAUCACGGGAUUCUCAUCAAUACAGGCGUGGGUAACCCAACAGCGCCAUCAAUUGCGGCGCUUGGGGGAUAAGCGAGUUUUACCAGGCAAGUGGGGACGCUUAGUUUCAUUCGCUCAUAUAAAGGGAUAAGGAUUCACCUUUCAAUCCACGCCUUCUUCCUCCUUUGCUCAUCCGUUUUCGCACACUCGAGCUCUAGCGCCCAAGUCCACACUUCCACCUCAACCUUCUCCAACCAUGUCCGGAGCGGGAGGCAAGUGGAUGGUCUCCUCCGUCACGGAGGGAGACAUCAAGAAACUGAGGAGAGCCGGAUACCUACCCGACGACAUCGCGCACCAGCUCCCAGAUGAGGGGCAGCUCAUCCCCACCCCCAGGCCCCAUGAGAGGGUAGUAUUCCUCACACAUUUCCUCCAUGGACUGGGAUUCCCUCUCCAUCCCUUCGUUCGGGGGCUCAUGUUUUAUUACGGCCUAGAUUUCCACGAUCUGGCCCCGAACUUCAUCCUCAACAUCUCGGCGUUUAUCAUCGUGUGCGAGGCCUUCCUCCGCAUCAGGCCCCACUUUGGCUUAUGGCUGAAGACAUUCAACAUCAAGCCGAAGGUGGUGGUCGGCCGCCAGGCGGAGUGCGGAGGCACCAUGGUGGGCAAGAUGCCCAACGUAACAUGGCUCGAGGGCUCCUUUGUGGAAACCAUAAAGGGGUGGCAAUCGGGGUGGUUCUAUAUCACCGAGCCGCGUGACCCUGCAUGGGCAGCGGCCCCCGAGUUCCGAUCUGGCAUCCCCACACGGCUCACCUCCUGGAAAGAGAAGGGCCUGUCCUGGGGUAAUUCGAAAGAGCUGACUGGACUCCAAACAUGUAUUCAAAACAUGCUGCUGGACAAGAAGCUCAAGCUUGUCAACAUAGUCCAAGUUAUGCUCAUCCGCCGGAUACUCCCGUGCCAACAACGGGAGUUCAACUUGUGGGAAUUCAAUCCGGCGCAGCACCGAACUCUGAACAGGCUCUUCGACACGACUCAUGAAGACGCCUGGAGGGUGUUGUUCAAAAGCGCCAAGGUCCCCCCCUAUUACUGAGGAUCGCGGAUUCAGCACGAAGCGCCAAGCCAGUGUGGUAAGCUGCUUUACCUUUCACAGGAUACUUAUUUUUUAUAUAGAUGGACUCUAUGCGGGAUCUAAACUCCCGUACCUUUGAUAGGAUUGGCAGAAGAUGGCCGGACAGAUCGACUGUCCGGCUCCUUUGCCCGAAGGCCCCGCAGACGCUCUUCUCGCGAAGAUGCUGACUCCGGCCCCUUAUAAGGUGCCGGACAAGACCAAGAAGGCCAAGGGAACCCGAAAGAGUUCCUGACGCCAGGCGUCGUUGGACUCAUCGUCCGAUGACUCUGCGGUGCACUCUUCCCCCGAAGACGAGGAAGAAGAAGAUGAUGCUCCCCCACAGACUGGGGGAGACAAGAAAAGGAAGGCCGCCCCUACUGGGGAGGCCGGGGGGUCCAAGAAGGGAAGGAAUCUUCUUCCGGACAGUUCCACCGCCACCGACGAAGGCAAAGACGAGUGGUUGCCCAGGGUCAAGCCCCGGGGAGAUUGUAAGUACUCGGAUACCAGAGUAACUCAUAGGAUUCCUUUAUCGCACUGCUUUCCCUAAUCGCCGAACAUGAUUAUGCAGGCCGCCACGAGCCAAUAUCGAGGUAUCAUCGGACGGCUCCCUAGGCUAGUUGGACAUGGAUAGCGAUCCGGUCCCGACCGCCACCUCCCCUCAUCCUGCCGACGACGCUGAGGUGUUGUCUCAAGAGGCAUCGGAUCGAAGGGAGACAGUACCGGAGGCGCCCCAAGGCGACCUUUCGGACUCCGGGAGCCGAGGGGAUGGGGCCCUCGAGAGCUCCGAGUUCGGCCCUCAGCCGAACACCGUGCCGGACCCUCCAGCGGUUCCGGGCUCGGGAAGGCAGCCUCCUUCUAAGAGGGGCAAGAUGCCUAUGCCGGUGACCUCUGUCCAUCCAGAGGCAUCGGACAAUCUGCUGGAAGCUCUUCGCAGCGCUUCCAUCGACGAGGAGCACCGCACUAUCAUGAGUGCGGUGAUCCAGAAGGUUUGGUCCGCCAAGAGCGGAUUGACUGAAGCCUGUGCCAGCCUUCUAACAGGCUUCGAGGUAAGUGUUUUAAAAUGUAGUAGAAAUAUUACCGCAUAGACAGUAGCCCCUGAUGCUUUGUUCGGUGUUCACAAAGAAAAGCCGAACAGAGGAUCAAAUAAUAUCGCAGGAGUCUAAUAUAAGUAUGUCAAUAUGCAUAUGCAGGCUUCACUGCUGGCGUCCGCCGCACUGACUGCGGAGGUCGCCGUACUGAAGCAGGCCCUCGAGGGGUCCCGGAAAGAGCUCGGCCUUGCUAAGAGGCAGCUCGAGGAGAACAAGGGUAAGUAAUACCCCGUCUAUAGAUAUGUAUAUAUAUAUAAAAAGGACGCGAAUGGCCAAAUGACAGGAUCAUUGUAUGUUUGUCAGGGGCCACGACCGAGGUGGCGACCCUGAGGCAAGCGCUAACCCAGGCCGAAGAUAAAGCGGCCCAGGAGCGCACCGAGCGAGAGAAGCACGAGGCUCGGGUGGGCGAGGUGCAGCAAGAGCUCCAGGCUCUCAUGACGAAGCAUGAGGCAUUGGAGCUUGACUCCAAGACGUGGGAGUUUGAGCUUGCCGCGGCCCUCGAGAGCGCAAAAAGUGCCAAGGCCGAAGCCCAAAAGGCCCUCCAAGAGAUCGACGCGAUGAAGAAGAUAGCGGCGGGUAAGGCUUUCUAUAUGCAAAGCAAGCAUGUAAAAGUAAAUUACCGAUUACUUACCCGGAUCCGGAGCUCUUCAGGAGCAUUCGCAGAUUUACCCUGCAGUGUGUCCGAUGCCGCGCAAUUUUACCAGGCCGAGGAUGGAAGCUCGACGGAGAAGCUGUUCUGGUCUCAGUAUGCUGAGGCCGAACAUGUGGUGCCGAUGAGCGACCAGCCGAAGCAGAUGGUCGAGCUACAUAAGGCGGUUGAUCAGGCCAUGAAGGGCUUUAUAGUCCGGCUAUGGCCUGGCGACGCCCUUCCAAACAGCUUCUUCGGCCUGGUGAGGCGGCUUGUGGAUACCCACCCACGGUUGGAGGUCGUCAAGCGAUCCGUCUGCAUUGAAGGUGCACGCCGGGCUUUUGCCCGUGUGAAAUUGUAGUGGGUCAAGCUAGACGUCGUGAAGCUGAUCAAGGAGGGGCCGCCGGAGGGCAAGGAGCACCGCCACCCUGAGAUGUACUACGAGGGUGUUCUGUCGGGUGCCCGUCUCAUCGUGGAUGAGUGCCCAAAAGAUGUAAUAUUUGAAUGAGACUUGCUCGUGUGAUCCUGUAUGAUGAAAACUUGUUUCAUAUGCGCUAUGCAACGCUUGUUUGAAUUUGAAAUAUUACCUUAUGUUUGGCCGUUUAUCCAAUAUGAGAGAUGGCUAGUCCUCGGCUUCUGCCCCCAUGCCGCUAGUGCUGGGGUGUUCGGGAUAAACCUGAGCACUCUUUUCCAUAUUUGGGUCCUUCGAGGGAGGUACUCAGCACAACGAACAAGGCAACCAGACUAAUAAUGCUUUAUCACUCUGACUUAGCCAUAGAAUUCUAUAAUUUUAAAUUUCGGCGAAGCCCCUGGUAUUCGGAAGGCCGAAUUCGGGGCGCGAUACACGCCUGUAAACCGGACAGGGCCGGCCCCUCGCCCUAAGCGGGAUAAGUCUUUAGGGACUCAAAAAAAAA